RNAcentral lists this long non-coding RNA (70637 nucleotides) under Citrus maxima (pomelo). Its description in RNAcentral is "long non-coding RNA (CMAX_LNC000468)". The stretch from base 49507 to 49579 matches the Rfam family "tRNA". Lineage: Eukaryota; Viridiplantae; Streptophyta; Magnoliopsida; Sapindales; Rutaceae. The record is from RNAcentral.
UAAACUAAUGAAUUGCAAAAGGUGCUUGCGAUUACAUGUUUUCAAAUUGUCGUCCGAGAGGCAAUCUAAUUGGUUUGAUCUUCUCAUACACAUACACUCCAACUUGUUAUAUGCUAAUCGGCGCAAGGAGUUAAUUAUCAGCUUCAAGGGUUUUGUGGAAAAACUUCAGUCACAGCAGAAGCACGCUUCAAAUCCAUGAUGAUAACAGUGUUUUGCAGAAUUGGAAGAUUGCAUUCUCACCGUUUUGGAAAAUUAUUUAACAUCAACUCAUUGACAAGAUUUUUCAAGUUUGCAUUCUUUUCUCACUUUGUUUAACUAUGCCAGUCUUCCCUUGCUUGGAGGAGUUUGAAUUCAUUAUGCUGCAUUUUUAUCAUCAGACUAGUGACAGAUCUUACAAUGAGUUUGAAGCAAAUUGUUUGCUUGUAAAUUUACCAUAGCAUUUUGUAAUAUUGAUAUUCGUCAUAAAAUAGUUUGGGGUCUUGUGAACCGCUUGAUGAAAACACUGAUUACAUCAUUGGACCUAUUGCUUCUACUGCAAGAUGGUUAAUUACCUGCUAUGAUAUUUUCAUCCCAUUUCUGAAGUAAAUGCUUUUAUCUUAGCCCCCAGAGUUUUGUACAGAACUUGAGCCCAACUUCACAGGCACAAAAUCGUGCGGCAUAAUUUGGGCAUCUAAAAUAUGUACGUGCAAUGUGGUUUAGUUUUUGAUAAAUAUUUUCAUCUUGACAAUACUGGCAUAUUGCUUCUUCCUUCAACCUUUUCCACCCGAGUAAAGCUCUUGUUUAUAGUUCUUCAAAUCUGAAUGAUGGCAAAUAACACUUUUCUAGGAAUGCGAGUGAUACAUGCAUCAGUAAGCAACCUGGGGAUGUUUCAAAUUCACCUAGUUCUAAAAUCUAGAUACACUCACGACUUUUUGUAACUACAUCGAAAAAUUGGAUUGAGCGUGAUUCAAUUGCAUUUUUUCUCUGUUUUUCUGGUAAGUGUUUUCUCCUAAUAGCCUUUAUGCUUUUCCCUGGUUAAAAAUUGGUCUCCUCUGAUAAGCUUAAUGAAGCAACAGUAAAUAUAGAAACCAGUAAACAAAAGAAAAACUAGCGUGACAUAACAUGUUGGUGAGAAAUUAUAUUAGAGCCGUACUUUCAUUUGUCAGGUAGUAGAUAUGAAGCUUAUUUCCUCCUUUGACAGAAAAUAGGCUGGUCGUGUUAAUAACAACAAAGGAACUUCUACGAGGUUGAGGCCUCUCAACAGGGGGCUCUUUGAUUUCUUGGGUGCCAAGGUUGCAGCACCAGCAUAGCAUUCCAUCCCGACCUUCCAAGAAAUGCUCAUCACUUUUCCAAAAAGCUAAUGGCGUUCCAAGGCUUUUUUGGGUCCACUGGUGAAUAAUUUUUUCCCAAGUUUCAUUGGCACCAAAUUCAUCCAUAACCCAAAUUGUCACCAAGAGAGGGAGGAGACAUUUUCUACAGCAUCGGCGAUGAGCUUGCACAUAAGAAUGCCACAACUGUUCCUGUGUCUGGUUCCGUAGUUAAGCAACUACGAAUUUGGGGUUUGCAAUUAGAGAAUGCCAUGACUUUUUUUUCAGGCUUGCAUUGCAGCGGUGAGUCUGCAGGCAGCCGAGCAAGUAUCUCGGCCAUCAAUUCUUCAGGAAGAUCGUUAAUCCUUGCUGUUAAUUUCUUCACUAUCCAGCAUUUGCAAGAUUACACAAGUGAAUGUUGUAUUGAAUCAUAAAAUUUGGAAGGGAAAACCUGUAAAUUCUUCUAAAUUCAGAACAGAGAAAACAGAGGAACAAAAAAAUAGAGAUACCCGAAAUAUCAAAACCAAAAGCUAAAAUGAGGAUUGAAACGGAGAGAGCAAAAAACUUGAUGUGUCUGCUGAUGGACCCAGAAGGGAGUUCUUUAGAAGCUGCCAUGUAUUUCCCUCUACACGCCCGCCCUCAACAGCUUUCACAAACAGUGAACGAGCUUCUCAAUAAUGUAAACGAAGUUCUUCACUUUGCAAUUUAAAAAAAAAAAAAUAGCAUUGCAAAGUAAUGGGUGUGUGAAUACCCGCUAAAAAAGUUCAAAUUUUGAUUGCAUAAUUUGAUCAAUUUUAUAGUAAGUGUUUAAAGGGUACAUUUUGAAUUAGCUAAAAAGUGAUUUCAAUCAAGUUUCUUUUUGUGGGUUCCGUUGAGGAGGAGAAGCUACAGUAUCUUUUUAUAUAUCAGACCAUGAGCUUGUGGUGCCACUUGGAAGUUAUUUAGAGAAAUAUAAAGGUUUGUGUUUUAGAAAAUUGUUUUAUUUUGGCUUCAAUAUCCGAACAUGGAUUUUUUUUUUUUUAAUAAUGUUGUAUCAAAAAAAAUUUCAGUUUCAGUGGAGAAUGGAGUUGUCGAGAGCUUAUCAACCACAAGCUGCUUUCAGAAUUCGUCCACCUAAUCGUUGCUCAGCUACCAUUGCUGGUGAGUGAGUGAUUUAAUAAAUUUAAUUCGUGAGUAAGAUCUCAUUGGAUAGAAGUAUCAUGACCAGUUCAUGUUUUGAAAGUGUAGUUCAUACAGGAAGGGUACUUUCAGAAGCCUUUAGUCCUGAUGAUUCCUGUUGGGCGACAGUUGGCCAAGAGGUUCUGGUGACACCACCGUCCGACUAUGGGACCUUAAUACCCAGACACCAAUGUUCCCUGUCCUCCGGGGGACUCCACCAAGAGGUUCUUGUAGUUCAUACAAGAGCUGGGCUCUACGUGCAGCAUGGUCUCCUGGAGGUAACCUUCUAGUUAGUGGGAGCAAAGCCUGAGAACUUCAAUUUUGGAAUCCCCAGACAGGAAAGCCAUCACGCAAUUCAUUGUACAGCCUUUUACUUGAAAAUCUCGUUUCUGUUUUGGCUUUGACAAAAUCAAUUAGUCUUAUAUCAGUAUAUUAUUGCUAGACUUUCUUUGCCGGGGGGGCCUCUAGAAUGUCUUCCCUCUGUAUUCGAUUUUGUUGAUUGACAACGUAGCUACGUAUGCUAACAACAUUCCAACUUUUCUUCACCUCUUAAUAUUUCUCUUUUUUCUCUCGAUCAAUACCCUUGCUUCUGCCAUUGUUGUUCCAUUUUAUAAAACUAUAAUACAUUUCAUUGCAUCUAUAAGUAGGCCGCUUAGGAGAGGUACAUCAAAAUGAAGACAACGCUCCUAAAAAGUUGGUGUCAAGAUCUGAGGAUUUUGCAAUGUUCCUCUGGAACUUGCUGUUAGCAAACAACCUAAGACUCCCAUAAUAGGUCAUCAAAGGGUACUAAUUGUAUAUGUUUUUAGUCGCAAUAUAAUUUUACAAUUACCAUUCUGUGGGAGUGCAAUGUUACCCAAUUUUUCUUUUCCUUUCUUUGUUAAUUUUCCUAUGAAAGAUCACAUAUCAACGAUGAAAUUAAAUUGCCCAUUUCUUAAAGGUUUGGGACAUACGGACACAGAGGCUGAAACAAAUUAAUAUAUUUAUUUAAAAAUAAUAAUUUACAUAGUAUAAUUUAUUUUUAAAAAAUGACUAUGGUCUGUUGGGUAAAUUAUUACAAACUAUAAUUUUAUUCAAUAAAAAGUAAAACAUCAGGGACCUUUAUGAAAAAGGCCCCAAAUUUCAUUCCUUUUAUUAUUCUCGAUUACCAAGCUACAGCCACAGUGCCAUCAUACUCGUUAAAUGCAAUCAAUCGAGAAACAAAAGAAAAUUCUCAGAAACGCAGUCGAUUACAAUGAAAGCUACAGAGGUACCCAUAAGAUCAAACAACAAUAGCAACCCAAUUAAAAAUCAAGGUCAAAUGAAGAUUGAAAAUACCCAGAACCGGAAGCCUCCGUUUAGGCCAGCUCGAGAUGACACCAAACCUCCACUUCACGACCCUGUAACUGUCUUCUUUUUUUCUCUCACUUCCAUUUGGUUUAAAUUUUGCUUUUCGGGUCUUUCUGAUUUUUUGUUUCUUUUCUGAAAGUGAUUUCGUUGUUUUGGUUUUGGUUUUGUUUUUGUGGCAGAUACUGAGAUCAGAUCCCAUCGAAACAGAGGAAGCAGUGCUGCGGUUGCCUCCUUUUUCUAUUAACAGAGAUCAUAAAAUUUAAGCUACCGGGUUUCCUUUAUUUGUAACCUUUUGUUUGCUUUUUAAAUUCUUCAUGAAUUUUAGCUUCAUUUUGAAGCUAAGAAUUUCAUGUACUAUUUGGAAUCAUGCACUAAUUUUCAUUUAUGGUAUGUCAAAAUUGAAUAAAAUUACUAAAGCCCGCUGAACAUAGCUGUUGGAGUAACAACUUAAACAGCGGCCUUGAACUUGUAAGUGAUUCCAAUUUGAAAUUGAUCAUUUGAUCUCAUUAACUUCAAGCAAAAGAAGUUAAAUCAAAUCACAUGAUACCGUUUCCACAAAGACGGCAAAUUGAAUAUGUUUGAGAGCCCUUUGAUUGCAGAAAAGUCUUGACUUUCCACGUUUAAGUUUGUGAAAGACUUCAAAGCGUUUCUUGUUCUUGAAGAAGCACGUUGCUGAGUGCUUUUCACAUCAAUGUAAUCCAGAAGGUGCCAAUUGCCAAAGCAAUUAGCAGAUUAAAAAGAUAUAUUGACAACAUGAGAGUUACGGACAACAAUCCUGAAUUUGGUAAUUUGGUUUAACCCAACAGAGAAUGAAAUGAAUCGACUAGCAUACUGAACAGUAUAAUUACGAUUUAACUAAUCCUCAGUCUCCACCCAAACAUCUAAGGUCUAACGACUAACUAAAAUCAUCGAAAUACUAUUGUUUCUCGAAAAAAAAAUAGAAGAAUGUGGUCAUAUGAACAGUUAUUGAGGUAAAAUUAAUGAGCUUAAUAAAUAAUCAAGAUGAUUAAAAGGUAUCCAUCAAUCACGCAUCCUCAGAAGAAACGGGGGCAACUUGAUCUAGGAUAUUUGGAAACCCUCUAGGCAAAUUAAACAGCGGCUCAUUAGUUGUAGAUCCUUGCAUGGUUAGGCCUAAUGCGUAUCCCAGUGCUCGAGAAACUGGCACUGCCACUGCAUUUCCAACUUGAAUGUACCUAAAAGAAGUCAGAUAAAACUACUAAGAAACAACACCAUAUGCAAGUGAUUGAUCAAUCGUAACUGACUAACUGUAAAAUCACACAACUUAACAAAACCCUAAUGUUUUCAGAGGGCCACUUGCAUUCAUUUGUGAAAAAAGUGAUGCAAUACUGUUCUGAAUCAAUAAUAACAAACAUCAACAAUUCAAGCAUUUACCUUUCUUUGAUAGGACCACAGAGCUUGUAAUAAUCUGGAAAACCUUGAAGCCUUGCGUUUUCACGAACUGUCAAAACACGAUCUUGUACUGGAUGCAAAAUAGCCUGUAUACAUAAAAUCAAUUUAAUGAUAAUUGCACAUGAUUAUUUUAGUACAUGAACAUAUAAAUAUGCUUCUGCUACACAGAUUCAUAGAAAGAGAGAAAUGUCACCUGGUUAUGAGGCUCUGCUCUAGUAACCACUGUUGGUACAGUUUCAUCCCACCAAAGACGUGCAAACGGUCUGUAUAACAAAGUAAAGAUGUUAAAUUAUGUCAAUAUUCAACAAAAAGAUUUUGCUAUUACAGUUUAUAGAGCUGUCAUUUUCUAACAUAGAGAACAUUUUGAUGAGAAAAUUAAAUCCAAGUGCCAAAAUCUUGAAAUGCUAAGCCAAAGCAUCAAGAAAAAUACAGAACACAUACUUCGAUGAUGUACCAUCAAUAAAAGACAUGGCAUAAUUUGGCACCUGUCAUCAAAUGCAAAAAAAUGAGAUGUAAUAAGCAAAACUCCGAAGAUUGUGAAAAGAAUAGCAAGAAAAUAUAAAUAGACCUAUUGAUCAAAAUAUUACCAAAGGCUUUCCAGACUCCAAAUAAAUCCUCUCUACAUUUGGAUCCCACUCAACUUUGUUAUCGGGUCGAACUCGAACCCCAGGAAAAUCUCGAAAAUUUGCUCCCUAUUUAUUUAUUUAAAAAAAAAGAAAAGCAAAUUAACCGACACAAAAUCACAUGACUUCAAUGAGUUUGCUUCAAUUAUGUUCUAUGACACACAUACAAUACCUUUUUUUUAGGGACCCGGCAAACACGCUGGUAAUCAUCCUUGUUCAACUCAAGUGGGCGAUGAUCAUAAAGCAUUUGCUCUCUUGGUUUUGACUCUGAUGAAGAACCCAUCAUUUCUGCAAAAAUAAACAAAUCAUUUCGACUCAUUUUCUUGUCUUGCAGAUUUAAGACACAAAAGCAUAUUGAAUUGAAAUACAGCUUAUGGAAUACAACAGAACAACCAUAUGCUUUUUAUUUGUAAAAGAAACCAAAUGAGAUGAAAACAAUACAGUUAUUGCAAGCAUUUGAAGUUUUCUUAAGAAAAUAUGCAAACAAAAUAUCAUAGUUUUACAAAUUUUGAGGUAAAUACAAAUGUAUGCUUCCAUGAUUAUCUCUAUGAUAUCCAACAAGAAUUAAACACAGUGCACUGUUUGACAUAUGAAAUUUCAAAUUUUCUAUAAAAGAGAACUACGAAUAGUAUAUUAAAAUCAAGAUUAGUUCCAUCGUCAACACAAACUGGAAUAAUAAACAAAAAGAGACUAGAAUUGCAACCUGAUUCUACAUCAGCAAUGCUUCAUAACAGUAUAAAUUUCAAAAUAAUGGCUGCUUAAGCUGAGAAAAGAGUGGCAACAAGCUGAAAUCAAAUCAUGUAUAGAAAUAUAGUCAAUUGUUUUCUAUGUGCAGCUGACAUAAAAACAUAAUCUCAAAACGCACACAUAAAUGCCAAUGCAAGUCCAAUUAUUUUUGUAUUAUAAUUGAUUAUCAAGAAAAGAUAUAAGCAUAAACCAUUUCACCAAUUUGACUAGACAUGACAAACUAAAUGGGAAAAAAUGAGAAUAAGCAUUAUUAUGAUAUUUACAACACAACCAAAAACAUCAAAGGGGUCACUCAAACAAUUCAACUCUAGAAUAAGCAACAAUAGGAUAUCUGCCAAAUAAUGACUCAAUUUCUAGAAGCAGAAGUAACAAAGCAAUUGCAAUUCCAUGCAUAAUAAAAUUAAUUAAACCACAGCUUCUUACCAUCUUUUCUCAAUCUGAUAAAACAUUGAAACUCUGUCUCAGGCUCCCUAUCAUAUGGGAUCUCAUCUCGGGACUCAUAGUUAUCAACCUAAUUUUAACAAAGAAAAUUUAGAUAUAUACAAAAGAAAAUUAAAUAAAUUGACAAAACAGUAAAAAAUAAUAAUAAAGAUGAAACAUACACUAGGAAGGUCAGAAAUUGCAUCCUGUAACAGAAGCUUUCUUGCUAACUCUACUUGUUGACCUUCAUCAUAUGCAACGGUGUUUCUCUGCAUCCACCAUAAAUGAAUUAAAAUACAAUAACCUUAGUAGCUAAUAACAAAAUUGAAACUGUAAGCAGUUAUACUUCAAACUCAGUUGGGAUAACCCCUCUCAAAACAACAUCAUGUGUUGGAAGUGCAUAAGGAGGCAAUUUCUGCAAAGUCAUAAAACACUCAAUUAGAAAAUCAGCUAUAACUUAACAAAUCUACCAUGCAAAAGAUCUACAAAAUGACCUCAGUAGGUUGGGCUCCCCACAAGAAGACCCGCAUACGAAAUUGGGGAAGUCCAUAUGCCCCUGCUGCCAUCAUUCCCAUCCGAACUUGGUAAUUCAUUUGAAUAAGUCGAGCCAAGGCAUAUCGACCAAGUAAUCCUUUGGCAAACUUGACAAUGUCAACAACAUUUUCCAUCAAUACAAACUUAGGCUUCAAAAAGUCAACUAUAUCCAUGAAAACAAUUAGCUGUUUAUUUUUUUCAUCAGCCAGUGGAUUAUCUUUGUUCCUAAAACGAUUGAAUCCACUAACUCCUUGGCAUGGAGGUCCCCCACAAAUCACAUCAACAUCUCCCUAACAAUCAAGAAUCAAAACAAGAUAAGAAUCUUUGGUAAACAAGCUUCUGGUUAAAGCAAAGAGAAUUAUCUAGAAGAGAAUAACAUAAAAGCUUACAGGCAGUGGCAAAAUCUUUGAUUUGAAUCCGCGUGUGACAAAUUCUUUUAUCUUCUCCCCACAAUUGCUAUUACAAAAAUAUAGAUAUACUUAUAAUCAUAAUAAUGGAGCUACACAUUGUCUAACAUAGCCAAAAUUGCUAAAGAGGGAAAUACAAUUUUAACAGCAUACCUCAACCCUUCAAUUGGCUCCCAAGUGUCUUCACUAGGCCCAUAAUUUUUCCAACGAACCUAAAAGCAAAAGGUUGGAAGAGGUACAAUAUAUUAAAAACUGCAUUGGAUAAUAAGAAUAUAGCUUGAUCCUAGAUGCUGGUGAUGACAUAAACUUUUAAAUGUCAUUUUAGGAAAAUAGGAAUCAUGUUAAAAUUGCUUAAGGGGAAGGGGGGGUGUCAAGAAAGCAUUUUCAAGAUCUAAUCUGUCCAUCAAAUAGCAAUAAUUCACAAGAUUUUUUACUAAAUUAAAUGUUCUACAUGUUUAAGCAAAUAACAUAUUACUUGAUCCAUUCUUCAUUCUUCAAUAUGCUUUGUUGAUGUAGGACAAAUAGAGUCAUGGUAAGAGCCUUAGCAUAAUUGUCUUUUUUCAAAUUUAGUUAGGAUUUUCUUUUUAUUUUCUUAUUUAAGUCGUAUUCCAUCAUAAGUUUAUUAGGAUUAGGAACAAUUACAACUAGUAUAAAUAAGCUUGUUAUGCAGUUUCUUUAUAACAGCUUUCAUCAAUGAUAUUUUCUCAAUUGAGAACUUUUCCUCUCUAGUGCAAGCCUUUUUCUUGUUAUUAAAAAACAUGCACUGGAACAAUAUCUAAUACCACUUCCGCACUACAUUAUUUAUGAUUGAUACUAGCAAUGCACCGUUUUUGUUUAUUUGUGACAUAACUACGGCAUGGAUAAAGCAAAUUGUAGUUCCCACAAGUACUUCAAGUAAUGAUAAGUUGUCAGAGAACAAGAAGCUUUACCAUGUAUAAAAUGAAUUAAUAGAGCAAAGCAAGUUUUAGCAUAUUCUAAGUGAACAGAACCUACGAAUCCAUGUGACGAGCAUUUAGAUAUUUCUCAUACAAAAUUUCCAUAUUUUCCCCAAUCCUUGAAAGUAUCCUUUUAACCUUCAAUCCCCCUUUUCCUUUGCCAGGAAAUGAAAAUGAAUUAUGCUAUCACAUGCCAAGCAAAAAUUUCCUUUUCCUAACUUUAUAAAAUAUAAAGAUCAAAACGCUAAACUUUUAUCAACUUUUCUUGAAUAUAUAAUGUUUGCUGUUAGCUUUCUUUGUAUGAGAAGCAAAAAGAAAUCAACUGUCAUGCCUACGUAGCAUCCUAAACACAAACUGGAAACAUCAAUCCCCACUAUUCUUGAAAACAAAUCAAUAGAUCCAUGCACAAUAAAUCAAGAACACACAUACACCCUAAAAUCAAAAAAUUCAAAUCAAAUUAAUUUUGUUUUGUUUUUAUAAUUUGUAUACCUUCAGAUACAACCCACGUUUCUUUAUCUCCUUUGGAUCACCAUAGCAUAUUUUGAGAAUUUUCUCUACCUCAAAAAUCUCAGAAUCAUCUUCACUCUCAUCUUCUACGUUACCAUUAUCAUCAUCUUCUUCAGAUUCGCCAUCAUCGUUAAAAGAGUACAACUGUUGCUGGGGAUCUUUCCUUGCAAUCAAAGAGAAACUAAUGCAAAGUUUUUCCCAUUCUCUUAACAAGGUGAGAAAAUCUUCAGCUGAUUCAUUUCUUACCUAAUUCAUAGAGUUCGUUAAUUUUUUUCAAAUGCAUGCAAUGCCGAGACUAAAUAAAACCAAAAUUUAUUGCUAUUUCUACCUCUGUCUCGGGAUGGUUCAACUUUAGACUUUGACAAGCAUACUCAUUAAUGUCAACAGCCCAUCUCUGGAAAAGAAAAAAGUAAAGGAUCAAACAUUCAAAUCUACCUCUUAUCAUAUCUAAAUUACUUGAAGGAAAAGACAAGCUUACCGUAACAAGAUUCAAACCAGCCAAAUUUGCACCAAGGCAAAGUCCUGUUGACAUUGCACCACAACCAGAGUACAAAUCUAACAAUUUCACAUCCAUCUUCUGAGGCUCUCCAACUUCACAUUCAUUUGCAUCAACGUCACUGGAAAUAGUGGAUGAAGUCUCACUGCUAACUCUCUUAUUUUCUAUAGGAUGACAAGAGGCAUAAGAUUAAACGUAGAAAUAACAUUCAUCAACCCAACCUCUACAUAUGAAAGGGAAAAAAAUAAAAAUAAAAAGUAACACAAUGGUUUGUUAACAAACAUAAAACAAGUGCAUUUCAGCUCAAAUAUUACAAUCUAUUAACUCAUGCUCAAUGUAUAUAAAAUAAUAAAAAGAAUAAUUACCAGGGGGCAAGCUGAAAAACGUGGAGUAUGGCAGUAAAUACAUCAUAUCGCAGUAAUAAUCACAAUGGGGGAUUGCCAACUUUUUGGCUUCUAAGUCAAUCUGACAAGCAAAUUGUAAUUAUUAACAAAUGAUUCAAACAAAUAAUCACCAUUAAACCCAAACAACUUGUAAACUGCAAACAUACAUUUAAUGGAACCCUAGCAAUGUUUAGCUUCUUAACCAAACAUUCCAAUGGAUUAUCAUUUUGGAUUUCAGAAAAGAAUACUCUUCUUUGGUCAAUAAGAUGAGCAUUACUUUCUAUGACCUGAAAAAAGAUGGAAAAAAUGAGAGAUCAUAGCAAAUUUACAAUGAAACAAAAUUAAAUUAAAACUUAAAACAAUCAAAAUUUAUCUUACAGUAUCACGGGCUCUGUAGUACCAUUGGGCGGUAAAAUAUGGUGUCCCAUCAACUGCCUCAAACAUUUCGACAAUCUUACAAAUAUAGUCCUCCUCCCCACUUUCAGCCUACCCAUGAGGAAAAUAAUAUAACCAAAAUGACAUCUAUGAUCUCAUGUACAAUAACACUAAACUAGGAUAUAAUAAAUCACUACACUUACAAAAGGAAACAACAGAUUAAACUAUAGAAAUCAAAAGCAUGCAUCUCUUCUAUUAGAUUUCUAAUUCAAGCAUCAAUAGUGAAUCAUAUAAUUCUAUUUUUUGUAAAACAUGUUCAAUAAAAAGAAAAAAAUUAAAAGAAAAAACUCACUUUUACAUGUGCAUCAUCGAAAAGAUCAUAUGUGAUAUGUCCAUCAACCUCAGCCCACAUAUAAUGACACUUUGCCUGUAUGAUCUCUUCUUCAUCAUCACUGAAAAAAAAAAAGAAAGGAAAAAAAAAAAUUGGUAAGUAUUUUUUGUUGUGUGAGAAAUUCCCGCUUGGACAAGUUAUGCCUAAUAUCUCAAUUUUUUCUACCAUAGCUUUCUCUUCACUCUAUGAAUUGCAAUCAGAAGUUCAAUUUUAAAAGAAAUUUGAAUGAUAGCGAGGUUGAAGAACUAGCAAUGGUUAUGUUGAGUAUCUAAAAUAUCAGAAUUGGUGAACUGGAGGAAGACAAAAUGAUAUGGAAGCUGGAAGCCUCAGGACAGUAUACUUGCGAGUCAUAUUUUGAGUAGUUGUGCAAUGAGGUUUUUGCCGGAGAGUUUUUAACCUUCAAAAUGAUUUGGAAGGCUAGUCCCCUAAAAUUGAAUUCUUCUUGUGGGUUUUGGCACAAGGAAAAUUAAAUACUGCAGGAGUAAUUGAAAGAAAGUUUCUUAAUUUCUAUCUCUAUCCUUUUAAUAUGCCAUAUGUGAAAAAGUGCUGAAACUUCAAAUCAUCUGUUUUUAAUUGUUUUGUGGCUUCAAAUUGUGAUAUAAUUCAUGCAAAGAAGCUAAUAUUUUGUGGGUCAUUCAGGGUGACUGCGAUUCUCAUCCUAUAGAGUAUUUCUUUGCUUAUGGUAGAAGAGUAAAGGCUAAACUCUUUAGAAAGGUAUAGUAACAGCCCUGUUUUGGAUAAUAUGGAAGGAAAGAAACAUUAGUAUUUUUUUAUGGGAAAAGUAUAGAUUACAUUGAUGAUAUGUGGGAUAAAGUUCAUCUUCUUGUUUCACUUUAGGCGUCAAUUUUUUAGGAGUUUCAAGAUUCAUCUUUUUUCUUCAUUCAUCUAAACUAUAUGGGGUUUUGAGAAGGGGAGUUUUUAACUCAUUCUAACCUUGUAUAGAGGUGAUUAGUGGCAUACUUUUAUAUAGCACAAAUAGUCUUAAUUUUUUGCCUUCUUAUUGGAUAGCUGGUCCACUGUCUGUUUUAUCAUUGUCAUUGAUAUAUUUUUUAGCUUACUAUCAAAAAAUAUAAAUAUAAAAAGAAGAAUUUGAAUAAAAAUGUGGUAAUUAUAAACUUACUCUUUUUGAUUUCUUCGCUUCUGCUUCUGCAAAAUUAUAAACAAGAAUAAAAUUGACAGAAGAAGGAAAAAUUAAGAUUCUCAGCAAAUUAUAUCCCAAAACCCCAAAAUUAUAGCAAAUUCUUAAAAAAAAAAAAAAAAAUUCGGUGUGAAUAUCAAAACACCUAAUUUAACAACCUUCAUAUGAAAACAAAAUUUAAUCAAAGACACUAAAACAAAUAAAUAAUCACAAUUAUUCAGUAGGAACUCAUCAUUAUAAUAGCAGCUAUUGAAUCCUAUAAACUUAAUUUACAAACGGCAGAAAUAACUAAAACAGUAAAAAAUAAAAUAAACUCAAUGUAGCAAAUGUAAACGUAUGAAAUACCUUUACUUCAUAGCGUUUGGGCCACCGUUGCCUGGCCUCUCCGUCCGGAACCGGAUCUCCGAGAAACCGAGCUUCUGGUUCAUCGCCGUCGUCAUGCUCGCCACGAACCGGUAACUUCUUAACAGAAUCAAUAGGUUUUUUGGAACUCGAUCGGUUCUUAUUCACUUUCACGCCGGAACCAGAACCAGAACCGGCCACAGAGUUUUCACAGAUCACUUCAGCUACCUCUCCCUCUUUUUCGACACAAGCUUCCGGUUCCGGCUCAACUUUUGACUUUUUAGACGACAACGACGUAUUGUCGUUUACUGAAGAGCGGGUCUUGCGCUUCGUAGGCAUGGUGGAGGUGGUGGCGGCGGCAGCGGCGGUGGGAGAUCUCGAAAAUGGUAGACCGCAACGGCAGCGUUUUGAGGAUAAACAAAGAGAGCAAAAGGCGUUUGUAUCUUCGUGUGGGCUUGCGCAUUAUAUGGUGAGUUUCGGUGAAAAGUGCAAAUUUUUAAGUGAAUUGGAGUGGGCGGGAAAGUGGAGACUUUUUGAAAUGGGGGGAAAGCGAAAAAAUUAUUUUAAUGAAAUUUUCAAAAUUUUGAAGUGCACCGUCACUCAUGUCUAACUUUUUUUUUUAAUAGUAAAAAUUAUGGUCUAUUUUUCAAUGGUUGUCAGUUGUCUUAUAAAAUUUGUCAUAUAAAUAAUGCAUAAUAAAAUUUGUUCAUGGUGUAUGCAAUAGAAUCUUGAUAAAUUGAUAACUUCGAUUAAAUAAUAGUAUUUUGUCACUUUUAACUUGGACCUUAUAUAAAUUAAUAAUUACUUACUUUAAAAUUAAAUCCACACGAUAUGUCAUCUACCUUUUUGUAAAAUAUGUUCACAGUAUUACUUGAAAAUAAUUCAGAAUUAAAUCUUAACUCAUUUGUAAUGCAUAAUUCCAGUUUGUAUUAUUCUUUUGCCCCCAAUAUGAAAUGGACUUUAUUAGGGUUGGCAAAACCCCGAGUUGGGUUCGGGUAUCGCAAUGCUUGGACCCGCCCUGGAUGUAAUUUUUAAAUGCUCAGGCCGGGUUUUAAUCCGGGUAUCCGGAUUUUAUAUUUUUUAAUAUUAUAUGUGUAUUUUUUUGGUAAUUUUAUAAGUUUUAAAUUUAUUUCAAAAAAAUUUGACAUGAAAAUAUAAACUUUAAGUGUUUAAAACUUUAUAUAUGUAUAAUAAAUUAGUCAAAUAAAUAUAAAAUAUUUAAAAUAAUAUAUAUUUUAUAUUUUUUUAAUAAAAUUCGAGUUCCGAACCGGGCUAUGGGUUUAUCAAGUGAUGUCCAAGACCGGUCCAACUUCAUAUCGAUUACCUAGCCCACAACACCUAGGUGUGGUCCGGGUCCGAAUCGGGCUGGUAUUUUUGCCACCCCUAGACUUUAUAUAUGAUAUUUCGUAUAGAAAAAUAAAAACUCUAUAUUUACUAUUAUGUACUGUAUUGAUGUGAGACAACUAAACACUAUUCAAAUAGAACAUAAUAAAUAUUAAAUUAAGGUAGAUAAAUUCUAUAAAUGUGAUAAUACUUUCCAAAAAUAAGGAUUUCUUCCAGAUCAAUAAUUUAUUAAUGAGAAAUUAUCCACCGACCACCUGUUUUUUCGAGUUUUUUCAAAAAAUACACAAUUUUUUUUUGUUGGAAUUCACCAGAAGUUACAUUUAUUUUCACUUUUCCACUUCUGUUUAGAGACCGUUAAGAAAACUAACGGAAUAUUGUAUAAAUAACUUUUUUACCCUCAAAUAUAAAAGAUAAAUUAUCCACCGACUACCUUUUUUCGUAUUUUUUCAAAAAAACAUAAUUCUUAAUUUAUUUUUUUUACUGAACUCCACUUUAAGUUAUAUUGUUUUGCACUUGCCCACCACUGUAUCGUUGUGAAAUGACAAUUUUACCCUCAUGAUGUCAGCAAAGUUCUAAUGGUGUUAUAACGAGAGUGGACCAAUAAAAAAAAUGUUAACUUCAGGUGGAGCGCUGUAAAAAAAAAAAAAAAAUUGUGUAUAUUUUGAAAAACGGUGAAAAAAAAAUAUGGUCGGUGGAUAAUUUCCCUUUAUUAGUUUGUCAAUAUAAUAAUCAUUAAAUUAAUAAUUUUUUAUAGUCCCAAAAUUAUUAAUUUAUGAAAAUUUUAUUUUAUAUAACAAUUUAGUGAUUGGUCACAUAGUAUUGCAAAUUAUAGUUUUGUCGUUUGUUAAGAUCUCCUGGUUAAUACAAAGAAAUUUGAAAUUGUAGCUCAGUUCACAUGGGAGAUGUCGAGAUGAGUUAGUUACUAGUUAUGCUAUGCUUAAAAAAGUUAUAUAAAUAUGAUUCUUUUUUUUAUUGUUUCAGUUUCUAGUCAACAUUUCUAGUCUGCCCGCAAUUGGAAAGCUACUUUCUUUGAAUUUUUUUUAAUUCGGCAUGAACCUGACGUUGUGCACCGACUCAUCACGCACCAUUAUAAGCAAAAGUUUUAAUUUUCGAUGUAAAAUGUCUCGUGUUAAAAAUAAUAGAUUUGAGGUUCAAAUCGCACUCGUGUAGAUUGGAAAAUGAUUGAGUUUUCAUAAGACUAAAUAAUAAAAUAAAUAAAUACUCGCUUGAUGGACGGUGAAAAUUAGUAGGGGUGGACAAAUAAGAUUUCAGUUCGCGUUGUUCGAUUUUCGAUUUAGGUUAUAAUCUGUUAAGUUUAGAAAAUUCAAUUCAAUCGACUUCGAACGAUAAACCCAAACUGAACAGAAUUUAAUUUAAUUUGGUUCGAUUUGGUUCGGGUUAUAAAUUCAGAUUUAUUGAUUAGAAACCUUAAUUUUACCCCAUUCAAAAAAUGAAGUAAUUAACUAAAUAUCAAACAAAUUUCUCAUAAUCUCGUUCACAAAUUUAAACCAGUAAAGAAUUCUAUGUUUAACAAUUAGAAAAAUUAACUAAUAAUUCACAAAAGAAAAAUAAAAAAUUAACUAACAAUUAAAAAAUAAAUUUCUAACAAUCAACUAAUGGAUGAUAAAAAAAGAAGAAGAAAUAUUUAGCAGUAGAGGUUGAAAAGAAGAAGAUUUUGGUAGCAGUGGAAGGAAAGAAAAAGAAGAAAAAGAGAAGAACUGAAGAAGAAGAAGAAGAAGAUGAGAUUCAGCAGUGGCGAAAGAAAAGGAAUAGAAGAAGGGGAAAAAAAGGAAAAGAAGCAAAAGAAUGGAGAAGAAGUUAGGAGCAGCAGAGACGUGCGUGUUUGGGAGUUGUCAACUUGUCAUGCGUUAGAGUUAGAAAAUGAGUUUUUAAAUUAGUUUUUUUUUUUUAAUUUCUUAGUAAUCCAAUCAGGCUGAAUUUUCGGUUCGAGCUCAAAAUAUGACUCGAUCGGUUUUAAAUAUCUUUAUCUAUCUAUAUAUCUAUAUAAAGUUGAGACCUGAAGAGGUGAUGUGGCAUCACAAUUUCUCAUCUUUGUAUAUUAUUUAUUAUAUAAUAAAUAGAGAAAUUUUCUUUUAGAUUUGGUUUUUCAUAUUCUCAUAAUUAAUUUGAUUGUUAUUAUAAAAUAACAAUUAUGUAAAGAUUUUAAUGAGGCAUAUUUUUUGUAAUGAACAUUCAAGGGGGAGUGUUAUGAAUUUAUUAAAAUAAAUGUGGAUGUUCAUAACAUAUAUCUCUUAGUCUCUUCACUAUCUCUCAUUAGCAACCUUUAAAUUCCAUAUAACUCCCACUAUUUCACAAGGAAUUAUGAUCCAUAAUUUUUCAUUAAUUUCAUGGAGUGAUUAUGUAACUAUAAAAGGAGAGUUCAUCUUUUUGUUUUGUACGCACACAAUUGGAAUGAAUAAAAUCAUUUUAUAAUAUAUUCUCUCAUUUUAUUAUUUAUCUUGCGUUGCUUCUUUAUUUGUAUUGCUAGCUAAUAGCUUUUUUUUUGUUUUUUAUAAGGCUGCAUCAUCUUAAAAAAAAAUCAAUUCAUAUUUUUUAUCAGUUUCAUCAAGUGUAAAGUAAGAAAAAGAAGGAUAAUAUUUUUUUUUUUUUUUAAAGCCGUAUGAAGAGCGGUUCUAUUUUAUAGUUAAACAUAAAUGAGGUUCUAAGCUUCAACCCAAAUCGAUCCGAACACCUGCCCCUUAAAAUAAAACCGUAAAUAUGAUUUUUAUAAAGCCUUUAGUUACAUUUCACAUUUGAAUAAUAAAACCAUGAGAAAGGCAUAACUUUCUCCCUUUUAUUUUUGUUAAUUACUUUAUUUACUUAUCCUUCAACACUUACAUUAUAAAUAUUAUUCAUUUAUAAGGAGGCCCUUAGCGUCUUGUUAAAAAUACAAAUGCCAUGCAAAUGAAACCCAUAAUUCGACCAAGCAAUUCAACAAUGAACAUGAUAGUCGAAAUUGCAUCUUGUUAACUCUAAUUCAUGGCCUUUACAACGUCAUCCAUGUACUUUUUUUUUUUUUUUUUUUUUUUUUUUGUGUUUGAUGACAUUUAGUUACAGAAUUGCAAUCAUUAUUUGGCCACAUCCUUUUGAUGAUUUUUUUUUUUUUCAAUGCGCCAAUCUCAACCAUUCUAUUAAUUUGAAUUGUGUCUUAAGUCAGUAAUGUUGUACCCUUUAAAAAUAAUUAAUUAUGAAUAAAAUUAAUUACAUUUUUAAUAAAUUUAUUUAAAUUGUGUCUAGUUAUACUGUAAUUAUAAAAGGCUUUUUAUUUCAUAAGUAUAUAAUUAAAUUAAAUGAGCUUCUAAGUUACAACAAUUAGUAUUUAUAAAAAAAAUUGCUAUAUCUUUUAAAAGAUACAACUAUUUAAUUUCAAUCCCAAAUAAGAUCAAUGUCUGGUAUAAAUCUUCAUGUCUUAACAAAUCAACAAUAAUCUGCUCAUUAGAAAUUUUUACCAACAUUAUCUGUCAAAAAUUUCAUUGUUUGUAUAUUUUUUUUCUAAAGGAUUGUUUGCAUGUUGAUAUUUCUAUAACAAGUGAUGAUAUAAUUAUAAACUCUUGUACAAAGUUAGUUUGUCUAAAUUAAUUUGACAUUAACUCAUUAGUUGAAUAAAAAAAUAAAAAAAUAAAAACAAAUCAUGUAAAUCAAGAGUUAUUUAAUCCAACCAAUUUAAUCAUACUAUAUUAAUUUAUAAAAAAAAUUAUAAUUAUAUUAACACUCUUCUAUAACAACCCCAUCUUAUAUAUAUUUACUUCACAUUUCAUUUUAUUUAUGUGCGCAAAUAUUGGGAAAUAAACAUUUUUCCUUUCAAGAAAGCUUAAACGGGCGGGAUAGUCCCACAAAAAUGCUGACGUGGCAGAGAGAACAGAAUGACCUUUGACCAUUCCUCAGCAAAUGGACCCCACCAAACUCCAGAACGCAAAAUAUAUCUAGCUCGCAUUCACAACCACCAAAACAACAAAACAAAAUCGAUAGCAAUUGUCGAUCUCUCUCACGAUCAAAAUCAACCGACCCCUAACCCUAAUUCCCAAAUUUGAAAUCUCUUCAAACUCCAUACGGAUUUAAAAAAAAAAAGAAAAGAUUUUUUAAGUCGAAAAGAGAAACUCGAUCUAAUAAUUGCAAGCUAUGAACGGGGUUUUGAUAGAGCUACUAUAAUGAUAAGACGGCGACUAGGGUUUUGUUCGAAUUGCAUGGGGAUUGACUUUGACCAAUGCCAGAGCUUCGAAAAGGCGUGCGCCGAGGCCGAGCCGCUACUACGUUAGCUGCAGCUGCCUCUCCAGGGGGUAAUUGCGUGAAGACACGCGCUGCGAUCGCGCGUGAGGCUGCGGCCGUUGCUGUUGCCGCUGAGUGGGAGAGGCCAAGGCCGAGGACGAGGUUGGCGACGAAGAAAUUGAAGGCAAAACAGGAAGAGAAUUUAGAAGUCAAAGAGAAUCGGAAAAAGUUGCAGGUGAUUGUGAUAUCGGAGAAAGAUACUGACUUGGAGAAAAAGGAAGAGAAGGGUAAAAAGGUAAAUAAUAAAAAGAUGGGUGAUGAUAGCGGUGGGUUGAGUGCUAAUAAGGCUGCUGGGCAAGAAGAAGAGGGCAGUACGGCUCCCUUUCCAGAGAGGGUAAGCAUUUUUAUAAAUUAAAAUUAAAAAUUAUUUGGGUUGGUUUAUAAUUGAAACUUUUGUAUUUUUGGUAAAAAAAAUUUCAGCUGGGUUGGUGUUGGAUCUGUGCAAUUUUGGUUUAUGCUGUUGAUCAAUAUGAUUUAAUGAUGUUAUCUGAAAAUUUCUCCUUGAAAUUGUAAAUUUUUGUUUUUCUGGUGGUGUAUUUUGAUUUAUUUGUGUCGUUUGAAGUGUUUCCUGUUUAGAAUGUGCUAUAGUUGUGAUUGAAAAGAAGACCUGUUUCUUCAUCUGAAUAAUUUUGGCGGAUUUGGAGCACAUGAGGUUUUUUUAUUUCUGCCAAUUAUUAUAAAUUUUAGCUUUAAGUUAUGCAUUUAUUCUAUUCCAUUUAUAAUGUGUAUUGGAACUGUUUAUUGAGUUUUUAUGCCUUUUUAUGGAAUGACGUUGUACAAAAACGUUUUGUUGGUUCUUGGCUGUGCUGAUUGCUGCCGUCUAUCACUCUUUGAUAUUAGAAUAAAAUUAUACUUAGUAGACUUUGUGAUUGCAUUUUUAUGGCAAUUCUAGCAUUUUUUAGAUUUGAGUAUCAUUGUGAUUUAUUAUCUUUUCAAUAUUCAUUGUUUUGCAAUAACUGUAACUUUACAAUUUCCAUUUAUCGUUUUCAUGUAUCCCUUUCUGAAGGUUCAAGUAGGAGGGUCACCUGUGUACAAAAUAGAGAGGAAGCUAGGAAAAGGUGGAUUUGGUCAGGUGUUUGUUGGUCGUCGAGCUCAUGGUGGAAAUGAACGCUCAUCAGGUGCUGGGGCUGUGGAGGUAAAAUCAGUAUAAAUUGAUUUGCCCUUGUGAAAAGUUGAAUUGCAGAUGUGUUUAUGUUAAAUGAUCAAUCGUGUAUUCCCUCUCAUUCUGCUUGUGUUUUUCCAGGUAGCUCUGAAAUUUGAGCACCGAAACAGCAAAGGCUGUAGCUAUGGCCCUCCGUAUGAAUGGCAAGUUUACAAGUAGGUACCUUUUUUUUUUUUUUGUCCUUGCCUGUUUCUUGUGUUUUGUGGAGUUGAGGAUUUGUUAACUAAUGACUGGAUUUUAAUUGAUGUGAGAUUAUAUUGAAAAUUUUGGUGUAACAGCACUCUUGGUGGUAGUCACGGAGUGCCUAAAGUACACUUUAAAGGAAGGCAAGGAGACUAUUAUGUGAUGGUGAGAUCGAGAGUCCUACCUCUCUUCAUUUCUGCAUCAUAACUUAUUGUCAUUUGUCUGACUUUUGCGUACACAUUUGCAGGUUAUGGACAUGUUAGGUCCCAGCUUGUGGGAUGUGUGGAAUUCUUCAGGGCAGACGUGAGUAUCUGUGUUCUUAUAUCAAAUUCUCUCUCUCUCUCUCUUCAUGGAUUUCAUGAUUUGUUGUUUUCUUAUUACCUUGAGAAUUCAUAAUUUUGAAUGUCUCACGAAUUGCUGGGUUAACAGUGUAGUUGUGGAAUAUUAAGAGGCUUGCACCCUAAGGCUUUUCUUGUGGGGCCCUAGGAAGGCGUUUCAAGGCACAACUAUAAGGCUUAAUUUAAAUGAUGUUCUUGCCUCAAGAAGCCAUGCUUUCAUGAAUUUGAAGGCUUCAUUCAGUUGAAGCUUAUGGUUCAACUUGUAAGGCUGUCAAGCAAGCGGAUGCUUCUUGCUCUGCAAAUUCUUUGGUUUAGUGUGUGUCUCGUGUGCCUUAUAAGAAAUUGCUUAGUCCUACCUGCAUUUAUCCUCACCAAAUGCUUUUUUUUAUUUUAGUUCCCAUGCACAUAACUUUUUGGUUUGUCCACUGUGUCUACGGAAAUUGGGACGGUAUUAUGUUCAGAUCCUAAGAACUAAUGUGAACAGAUAUUGCUAUAUUCUACUUUUCUUUACUUGAAGAAGCUUUUCCCUGCAUCAUGUUGAAUAAUUACGUAAAAAUAGUUUUUUGUGAAUGCGCUGUGAUAAUUAAGGCUGCAAACUCUUUUGUUUGUGGUUUAAUUGUAUUCUUUAUCUAGCGGUGACCUUUUAUUUAAUCUGAAGAUUGUACCAAUGUGCGAUGUUGAAACUUACCUAAGCUUCUCUCUGUAGAUGGAAUUAGGCCAGUAGACAAUAGAAUUUGUCUAUUUGCAUUUAGUUUUAGGAAACAUACUUUAAAACUUUUCUAAUAUACCAUUUUUCCCCAUUUGACAUUUAUUGCACUACAUCCUUUUGAGAUUGGUACUUUAAUACAGCUUUUUAUUACUGAAUUAAAUGAAUUAUUUUUAAGACGUAUAUUGCAUGUUACUAUAUUUUUGUUGUGCACUACUUGCGCUUACCAUAGCUUAUUUCUUAUUUAUUUCAUAUGUAGGAUGUCCUCUGAAAUGGUAGCUUGUAUUGCAGUCGAGUCUUUAUCAAUCCUGGAGAAGAUGCAUUCAAAAGGGUAUGUUCUUGUAAUUUCAAGUUUUACAUGUAACUUGAAAUUUGGUGAAAACUUUGCCAGCUUCAUUUUCCAAUUUAGCAGUCUUUUUUGGUAUUUAUUAUUUUUAUAUACUAAUUAUUAUUUUUCAUAUUGAUUCCAUUUGAUAUUAGUUAUGUGCAUGGAGAUGUAAAGCCUGAGAAUUUUUUACUUGGUCAGCCAUCUACACCACAAGAGAAGAAGUUGUUUCUAGUUGACCUAGGAUUAGGUGAGUAAUUUCAUUUUUAUCCUUACUAUACCCUCAUUUUUUACUUUUUUUGAGAGUCCUAACAUCUUAUCAAUAUAUGAUAUUGCAGCAACAAAGUGGAGAGACAGCAGUACUGGACAGCAUGUUGAAUACGAUCAACGUCCUGAUAUGUUUAGGUUAGCGUUUGUCUAGAUGCAUUCAAUUAUGCAAUCUAUUAUUUUACCACUAUUUCUGAUUCCUUUUCUGUUAUAUUUUUUCAGAGGAACUGUUCGAUAUGCUAGUGUUCAUGCGCACUUGGGAAGAACUGCUAGUAGAAGAGAUGAUCUUGAGUCACUUGCAUAUACCUUGAUAUUCCUUCAUAAAGGAAGAUUACCGUGGCAAGGCUACCAGGUAUCAAUUAUUUUCUAUAUAUUUGGUUGAAUCCUACAUCCUGUUUGGAUUCUUUCAUUUUAAUUUAAAGCCAAUCUAGUUACACUGUUUCUUCCAAAAUGUCAGGGUGAUAAUAAAUCCUUCCUAGUUUGUAAAAAGAAGAUGGCUACUUCUCCGGAAAUGCUUUGCUGUUUCUGCCCUCCUGCUUUAAAACAGUUUCUUGAGAUUGUGGUGAACAUGAAAUUCGAUGAGGAGCCCAAUUAUUCCAAGUUAAUAUCUUUAUUUGAGGGUUUGCUCGGACCAAAUCCGGCUAUAAGGCCAAUAAAUACUGAGGGUGCUCAAAAGGUCAGCAUUUUGGUAUGGCAAUAUUAUUUUUUUCCCGCUGGUCACAAUUGCAGAUUUUAAUGAGAGCUUGUGAAACUUUUGCUAGAUUAUCUAUCAAGUUGGUCAAAAACGGGGUAGGCUGAAUGUUGAGGAGGAAGAUGAUGGGCAACCAAGGAAGAAGGUUCGUCUGGGAGUGCCCGCCACACAAUGGAUUUCUAUUUACAAUGCUAGGCUACCCAUGAAACAGAGGUAUGGACUUUCUUUCAUGAAUAGAUAAUUGUGUUUCAUUUUAUGAUGCAAAUUGGAUAUUGAGGUGUCAUCUGCCACUUUUCUACCACAUACAAUCCCCCCCCCCCCCCCCCCCCCCCAACGGACAAUGUUUAUUGGAUGCUUUUAGCAUUAGCGUUCAAUUAUGUGGAGCUAAGGUGGAUUUGGAGCGUAUUCAGAUCUAUUGCUUUUUCUUUUUGGUUAUAUAACUGAAUAUAUUUGAAUGGGAGGUGGUUCGAUGUUGUUAUUAAUUACCUACCUACAAAAUCUGUCCUAGAUGAUGACCCACCCCCCCCCCCCCCCCCCCCCCCCCCCAAAACAACAUUUGUUCCAUCUUGUGAAGCUAAAUGAAUUCUAGUUUGAUUAUGCUCAUUUCACUUUGGCAUACAAACUACACUUAAAAGAACUAUUGUACGGGUGAAAUAAGCCCGUUAUAAAACUCCAUUACAACUGAAAGUUAAAUAAAACACAUAGCCAAUGAGCGGAAAAAGGCUACUCAUAUUAUAUAUGGUUUCCUAAAUAUACUAUUGCCUGAUAACCCACUUGUCGUGUAAUUAGGUACCACUAUAAUGUCGCUGAUGCAAGGUUGGCUCAACAUAUUGAGAGAGGAAUGGCGGAUGGUCUGCUUAUAAGUUGUGUGGCAUCCUGUUCCAAUCUUUGGGCACUAAUUAUGGAUGCUGGAACUGGUUUCACCAACCAAGUUUAUGAAUUAUCACCGUUCUUCUUACACAAGGUGAAUUGCUGCUCUGCAUUUUGUACUUGCCAUUUUCUUUAUUGUUUACUGCUUAAAUGUACAAAAUUACACAUACUGUUCUUCUGAAUUUGUAGGAGUGGAUCAUGGAACAGUGGGAAAAGAACUAUUACAUUAGUUCAAUUGCUGGUGCUACCAAUGGAAGCUCUCUUGUAGUGAUGUCCAAAGGUUUGUUUGCAUUGUUUCCUUUUUCUUGUCAUAUUUACUGAUAAAAUUCUGUUGUUUGCUUGGGGAAAUGUAAUCCAUUUUUAUUCUCGUUGAAAAUUAGUGCUUGUACUUGCAGUUGCUGUCAUGCCAAGUUGUAAUUGAUAGAUGUGCAAGAUUUAAUUGGAGAUUGUUUCUAAUUGAUGGCUUUGAUUUCAUUUACUAAUAUAUGUGGUACUUUGUAUGUGGAUUAAUACAUUAUGACAUAUUGCAUAUGGUUUUUCAUGUGUCAUGAACUGUACUUCAUUACGUGGUUGUAUAAAAGAAUAAAAUUGAAGAAAAGAAAUUGCUUAGGCUCAGUUCUCAGCUUGAACUCGUCUUUAUUUGUUCCAAAUUGAGCUGGAGUUAUAUUUCCCAAGCUUGAAUAAUUUUUUAAAAUGUUUUAAGUUCAUCAUGUGAUUGCAUCCUAGUGUUUAUUGUUAGCAAUUAAUUGGGAGAGUUUAUGAUCUAAUUUCCACAGGUACUCAGUACACACAACAGUCUUACAAAGUAAGCGAUUCAUUCCCCUUCAAGUGGAUAAACAAGAAAUGGAGAGAAGGCUUCCAUGUCACGUCAAUGGCUACUGCUGGAAGUCGAUGGGGUGUUGUCAUGUCUCGCAAUGCUGGCUUCAGUGAACAGGUUGAGUUUCAGUUUUCUUUUUAUCAACAUUUUCUCUGAAAAUUUAUUGUCUUAGUUCUGGAAUUGCUUAAUUCCCCUCUAAUAAAUUCUGGUUUUGGUUUCAAAGGUAGUGGAGCUAGAUUUUCUCUAUCCAAGUGAGGGCAUCCACAGGAGGUGGGAUGGUGGCUAUCGAAUAACAUCAACAGCAGCAACUUGUGAUCAAGCUGCUCUUAUCUUGAGUGUUCCCAGGCGCAAACCUGGUGAUGAAACUCAAGAAACUCUACGUACUUCUCAAUUCCCAAGCACUCAUGUUAAGGUAAAUAACAGGAUUUUAUCCUCAAAUUUUUAAAAGGUGUUUCUAUUUGUUCUAUUUCUGCUUACUGGUUACAAGGGACAUGAUAUUCAUGUCUGCUCAACAUUGAAAACAGAAUACCCAAAGAAGAUUGAAUGCACUCAUUGUUCACGUGAUGUUUCUUCAGGAGGAAUUAUUUGCACAUAUAUUCUUAUACACAUUUGUGAUUUCGAUAUGCAGGAAAAAUGGGCGAAAAAUCUUUAUCUCGCCUGUCUGUGCUAUGGGCGAACUGUAUCUUGAAGUCAAAUGUAAAGAACUUGGAGGGGAUUUUAAUGCAUGGUGGAAUGGGAAAAAAAAAAAAAGGCUAGUGAGAGAGCUUGGUGGUCCUAUUUUUCCCUUCAUUUUGUAAAAAAUAUUAGGAGGUUUAUUUUGAAGCCUGAAGCAAGAAGAGAGUAUUAUUGUCAUGUAUGAAAUAUAUUUUUAUUGCAGCAUCAUCCUCUUUUGGCUCAUGAUCUUAGGAGGCUUUUCAAAUAAUUUUGGUGUUUGACAUCAUUUUACAAGUAAUUUCAAGUGUUUAGAAAAUAAUUUUAAAGAUGCGUGAUGAAGCGCAUGGAUACUAGUUAUGCCUUGGAAUGAAAGACAAUUCGGAAUCAGCUUAUAAUAUAUACACACGCACACACAUGCAUAUGUUAAAUAUAAUGAAAUUUGAAGAGUAAUGAUGAACCAGUGCGCGCUAAACAUGAGAAAGAGUUGUCGUUAAUAAUAGACAGGUAAAAGAUUUUAGUAAUAGAUAUUUAUAGUUGAAUUUGACGUCAGGGGCCUGUAUGGAAAAUAAACUACCAACUGUGUUCUUAUUUGAUAUUAUGUUACCGUUCGGGGACAAAGUUAUUAUCAACCCCUUUCCAACAGUGCUAGAAAUGGUGACGUGUCAAGAUCUGACCCAUGCAACAAAAAGAGAUCAGAUUCUGCAUGCUCGCACAGCAAAGCAGAGAGAUAAAACGAUUUGUUUUUAAACACAAAACAGACAAAGCGCAGCAGGAGCAGAGAGCGCCAUGGCUUCUUCCUCUCACCCCUUAACUAUCCAGCAACCACUGUCUUUAACCUCAAAAAGCUCUACAUGUAAUCUCUCUCUCUCUCUCUCUCUCUUACUGAAUUUUUAGCCUUCUUGAGUUGUAAUAAUAUUUUUAUAUUCAUUUCAUUCUCACUUCUCUUGUCUGAGUCUCAACUUCAUAACUACUAAUGGGUUAUAUGCUGAUACCAAUGGCUAAAUUUUCAUAUAAUCCUUCACUUUUUGUCACUCUUAGCUAGUUUCCUAACAAACGUAUCUGAGUUUUCUUUUCCUUUUUGUUGCCCAUGUCUCAUAUAUAAUUGACUACGCUUCAGUUGCUUAUGCAAAUUUCUUUUUGGAGAAAUUGUCUCAUCAAGAAAGUGAUUGUUGUAUGUAUGUAUAGGAGUAAUUCUUUGAUUGCUUUAACGUUAGAUUUCAGUCUUCAACUAGAAUUGUGACAAAAUUAGGCACAUCUUUUAUAAUUGCAAUUUCCGUUCAGUUGUGAUAUUGUUUUGACGCUGGAUUGAACAAUUAUAUUUGCUUUUCUGAAAUAAUGGCAGAUAAGUUGAGGUCGGUCGGAUUUCGUGUGAAAUGCAGCUUGGACAAUGAGAGCUGUAGUUCUGGUGUUUCUGACAGCUCAUCGGAGCCAAGAAAGCUGAAGGUUUGAUAUUUAUUCAACAUUUCUAUAGUUUGUUGUUACUGUCUUAUCUUUAUGAAUGUGUCAUUUUGAAGUCCCCAGAGUGUAUCAUAAAUCUGAUGCUCAGGCUUACUUUCUAUGACAGGAGUCUCAAGUAUUAAUAUCUCGUCGUAAGUGUCUUACGUGUAUAUGUUCAACUAUAGCCCUGAUAAGCAAUUCUGGAUCGUUGGUUUCUGUGCCGAAGGCCGUUGCUUUGGACGGAAAAGAAAGACCUGUAUGCAGAAAUUGUGGUGGUAGUGGUGCUGUUCUCUGUGAGUAUUAGUUUUGUUAUUCCUUUUUCCGUCUCACUUGUAAUAUGUGAAUAAGUGAAUGCAUUCUCAGCUAAUUAUCUCCAAAUAAUAUUUUCACUGAAGAACUGGAAAAGUUUGCUUUUAUUUUUGAUGUUCCAACUACUUGUAGCUCCUGUUGAAAUAUGCAUUCUCAUGUUUCUUUACUGUCAGUUUUGAUCACAGCAAAUGUAAAACAAAUCUGACCAUUGUGUGAUUUUGGGGUCAUUGGACCUUUGACAUCUAAAUUUGUCUUUUGCACUGGUUUUUUAUUCUCCCUUUGCUGAAAAAAGGAUUAAACGUAGUUUAAUUUUUUGCACUAUUAUUACAAUGAGGCUGAAUAUAGGUCCAUUGAUCUUUGCAAAUAGUAUGGUUUUUUGAAAUUGAAAAGUUGGUAUGAAAUCUCUCAUUAUUUUCUGUUACAACUUAGAAAGAUGGAAAAUCUGAUUUGACGACAUUUCUUUUAUCUGAAACAGUAAUUGUUUGUGGCUGCAAAUGGACCGAAAAAAAUGUAUCUUGAAAUUUUUCUGUUGUAGAUUUGUUGGUCACUUCCAAUUUCCCUUUGGUCUGGAAGAUUUUAAUUUGCCUUUUAUUUAGGUGAUAUGUGUGGUGGUACAGGAAAAUGGAAAGCCCUCAACCGGAAACGUGCUAAAGAUGUUUACGAGUUCACAGAAUGUCCAAAUUGUUAUGGUAUGAACUUUUUCCUCUGAUACUCUUGUCCUGUUGUUAUAUUAAAACUGAUGAGUAAUGAGUCUGCUUCUGCUUCAAAUUUGUUCGUUUCCAACCACUGUGGAAUUUGACCUUUUUUAUGAGCCAUUACUAAUACUUUCUGUGGCCAGGUCGUGGGAAACUUGUGUGUCCAGUAUGCUUAGGCACUGGUUUACCGAAUAACAAAGGUCUUCUUAGGAGGCCUGAUGCACGGAAAUUACUUGACAAGAUGUACAAUGGUCGAUUAUUACCAAAUUCUUAAGUAUGGCCUUUCACCUUGGUGUCUGUAAUGUGAACUGCUAUAGCAAUGAUAAUCGUUCGUGUUUAUCAAUUUGUUUCACAGUCAGCAAUUUUUGUACAACUGACUACCAUGCCAGCUUAAUCCUUUGCAACCCGCAUAGGUUUGAUUGAUGUGGAAAUUCUUUAACCUGUGUUUUCUGGAAUUCUGUAGGGUGGACUGUUUUGAUUGAUUAUGCUUCGACAAGAUGAAUGAAGCCUGUGCACUGGAGCAGUACACACGAUCAAUCUUGCUAUUACUACAGUUUUGUCCUGAACACUGAACAGAAGCCCUAAAGUGACGAGAGUUCAUUUACGAUAGGCAAUUAUUCCUUGUGUUGAUUUGUUUAUUUCUCUUAUGCGACCUGAUUCCAAGUAGCUAAAUGUACCAUGGAUUAUGCAAUAUUUGAAGGCAAUUAUUGCCAUUUUAGGAUUAAAAUCUUACUCAUCUUAUCAUUGCCACUCAAUCACAGAAUGAUAAAUGAUAAAUAUUAGCUCUAGUCUGAUUUACAAUAUUUUUCGGAGCCCAAGUAUAAAAUAAAAGGAGGACACUCUAAAUGCACUUAAAUUUUAUCCUGUGAAAAUGAUAUGAAAAAGAACAAUCCUGCACAUUGAAUCUCUCCUCAGAUUCAGUGGAGACAAUGAAUGCUAUUGUCUUCAACAAGCAACUUAUGUAUACAUUUCAUUUGCUAUUUCAAGAGAAUAAAUCAAUAUAUAUACCCAAGUAAUCUUGUAUAUGCUGGAAACUUUUGAUUUGCAACAUACGCUGUGCCAUUCUCUUCGUCGUGUACCUGAUUCACUCAACAGGAACAUAAAUGCUUCACCAGCACAUCUUUCAACAACAAAAUUGGAUUGUUUCUCAAUACAAACAACUUAAGGGAUGGAAGAAAGAAAAUACUUGUGGAACCUGAGUGAAAGCAUGCAAUGGGUAGCCAAAAAUCAGGGCUGACUGCUGGGCAGCUUAUUGAGAACUGUGUGCUCUGGCUUAUGAUCGCAUUCAUAGUCAAGAUGAACAAAUGCUCGUUCAACUUCAGGGAGUUUCUCAAUCUUGUUCUGCAAGCUCUCUCCUAUUGCGUGUGCUUCUUUUAACGGUAAAUCUUCUGGUAGCUCAAUGUCAACCUUUUUCAAGAGAAUGAUAUUAAUUUACUAAAUUAAAAGAAUGGAGUUCCAAAAUGCUUACUAUAAGGGAGGUUUUAAUAGUAUAUGAAAUGUAUUCAAGCAUCAAAUUAUCAUAAUCGGCCAGGAGCUGCACCAAAGUUAAAUGUUAAGAGAGACCUUCAAUAGACCUUAUGAUUCCAUCUUAAAGACAGCUCUGCAUGAUUUCAAUUUGAUAAAGAUAGUAGAAAAAUUAUUGUCAAAGCCAUUGCAACCAGAAGGUGCUGACUCUAUCCUUUCAUUUCCAGUUAAUUUAAUUGCUUUAUGUUUGCGUUAUAUAGUAUUAUAACAUAGUGGUUGGAUUGCAGGUAUGUCAUAUGAAAGAGAAGAGAGUCGUAACUAUUGGAAGAAUGAAGAUCAUUUUCAAGAUUAACCAUAAACUAGAUACAGAACAACCAACCUCUACAAAAUAAAGAACGCCGAAAGUGUAAGCUCGAACUGUGUCGAUACGCUUGACUUCAGGGUGCCUUAUGACAAGAUAUGUCAAUUUCUGCAAGAUUUCAGGAGGAGCCGAUUGUCCCACAAGUGAAACUGCAUUAAUAAGCCCCAGUUCAGAGUAGUUUCGGACCAUAUUACCAGGAAGAAUCGAGCAAAAUUAAAUGUAAUUUAGCCUUGGUUUCAAUAAACUCAUUAACACUAAAAAGGAUUCUUCUAAAUCAUUCUCACAAAAAAUCAUGACUCAGCCAUAGUCUCCCCAUCCUCAAGCUGACUCAAAUUCCACGUUUUUCUUUUCUUUUCAUUUAAAAAGAAUGAAAACAUAGUGGCAAAACUUAUCCAGAGCAAAUCAAAACAUGUAACCAAAUUGAUCUUCUACCAAAAAAACAUGAAAAAAAAAAAAAAGAUAACAGAAAGCCCCAAUAGACCCAUACCCUUAGACUCUAGUACAUCUCUCCAAAGUUGUGAAACCAAGCUUUGCAAUGAUCAGUACCAACAAUGUAAAAGAAUAAAACUAGAAGCUGUGAAUAUAAGCAUUCCUAUCAACUUAGUUUCUGGGGAUAAACUAAAGUUGUAAGUUAUCAAUACCAUACUUAUUAUUCCCCCUGUAAGCUGGAAGGAUUUUAUAAGAAAUUAUUAGAUCAAAUAAUACCAAAAUGGCUGAUGAAAGUACCUGCAUUUUCCAUAACAGUUUCGGACCAAUUUGUUAUUGUGUAAACUGCCAGAAGAAUGGCACCUGCAGGAUCAAUCCACCAAUAGAAACUAUCACCAAGAACAGCAGCAACUAAUCCUACUACAUUUGUUACCACAUCAAAAUAGUGAUCCUGAGAUUCAACAAUAGAAGUUAGAACAAUUGAUAAAAAUAUGGAAAAUAAAAGAUCUACAAAUUAUUGAAAAAGCAGAGCUCAAAAACCUUAGCAUAUGCGCGGACAAUCUUGUUUCCUGAGCUUUUGCAGUAAAUCCAGAGGGCAAGUUUUACUACAGUAGCACCGAUCAUGAUCGAGUAUAACCAUUGCAAUUGGACUGUAUUCAUCUUUUUAGGCGGUUCAUCUUUAACUAGCUUUUCUACAGCCUCGAUCAACACCUGAAACCCUGCAAAAAAUGAAGGCUGUAACAAUCUCCUUUUUCACAGGAAGUCUAUGUCAAAUUCAUGUUCCAUACAAUUCAGGAUACAAAUGUGAGUAUAUGCAAUUAAAUCACAACACAAGUUAGUUCUUUGCACCACAAAUUUGUAGUUGUUCUCUUACACUGAACUAGAUGAAAUAUGAUGUAUGCAAGACAUGAAGCUCAAUGUAAAUAUCACAGUUAACAAGCAAGAACAGAUUAAAAUCACUGGCAAAUAUGGGAAGGUUAAGGCUUUGCUGACAUACCGAGUGUAGCCAUUAUAGCAGCAAAGAUGAUUAUGCCUACUGGCUGCACCCUCAAUUUCCCAAUAGGAUACUUAUAGAUAUUUAUGUUUUUCAUCGCCACAUGAGUGAACCAAAGUAUGCCACCGGCCAUUAGAUCAAGUAAAGAAUCCAGUGUCGAUGCAGCAAUGGCUAUGGAUCCACUCUUUAUUGUAGCAAAUAUCUGCAUGCCAUGUUGUCUCAUUAUUUCAACUGCUUGAAUAUGUAAACUGAAUUAUCUGCAGCAACAUAUCAUAUGUACUCUUUUGUUUUACAUAUUUUUAUAUGAAAAUUAUUUGUUUAAAUGAUUUAAUAUCAGUUUAUUUCCUUUCUUUAAAUAUUGUUAAAUAAUUAAUAACCUUGAAGGCCACUUAUAAAAUUCCAAGCACUUUAGAGGUUUCUGCGAAAAGUAAUCAUUGAAGUUAGAACACACCAUAGUCAGAAAAGCUUAUUAUUCGAAUUUGAUUGAGAUUGGUAGUAGUGUUUAAUUACCUUACACGCCAGCAAAACAAUAUUGGCAUAAUUAGAAAUCUUCAUUGCUCUUUCAUGUUGAACUUGUUCCUGAAGAUCUUCCUCGAUGAAGCAAUCAGAAUCCACCAAAACAUCAACUUCCUCAAAGGAUUUCAGAGUGGCAAAUUGUGAUGCAUAGUAUUCCUUUUCUUCUACAAGGGUAUUAACAUAAGAGCAUCCCACGUAAGUUGCAUUAAUAUGUAGUCAUCACUCAUCAGAGAGCAUGAUAGUCAGUUUUGAUAUCAAAAUACGGCCACUCAGAAAAUAUUCAAUCUUUAGAACCGCCGAUCAAUCAAUUACUUGAAUUCUUCUCUUCAAGUAAUAGUUGGUUCAACAUUUCCUUAAAAAACAUCCUCAUUAAGUAUGCAUGUGCAAAUAAAUAUAACACAAACAUCAUACCUAUAUAUAUAUACACACACACACAUGAACAUAAAAGAAUGUAUGAAAGUACCCAUGCAUGUUUUGGAUUGAGGUUGCUUUUAUUUCUAAUAAUUAAAAAGAAACAAAAAAUGUGAUGAGCAACUGAAUACAUGACGUAAUUUUGUAACGCCUCGUGAUUAAUGCUUAAGCUAUUGAUGCACGGACUAAAGUAUCUUGAUAGUAUUGCUCACCAUAUAAAUACAUAGAUAACGUAUCAAUAUAUCAUAUAUGUAUUUAUAAUAUAAUGAUAAUAAAAAGCAGAUCAGCCCACCAUUUCUUUUUCACUUUCCUUCAGUUUCUCACCAACCAAACACCCCCACAAACACUAACAAAGAACAAGCCGCUAUACCUGCACUUAAGGCUUUGGUUUUAGAGGUGUCAACAUCAAAAGGAGCCUCGGCAUCAAUACCAGCCAACACCUUCUCAGGCAACUUGGAAACAAACUCGUGCCUGAGUGCGUUCACCGAGUUACGUCGACUCAGGCUCAGCCUUCCGCUCCCGCUUCUCUUCCUCUCCCUACUACUGCUCGACUUCCUCCGCAGCAGCGGCUGCGAACCCGAAUCACGAUCCAUUCUCUAUACCCGGCCCAAUAUCCCACGUGUGUGUUUCUUCUCUCUUUCUCUCUCGCCUCCCAAUGAUGAUAGAUAGAUGGAUAGACUAUUCAAAGUUAUGGUUUCUAAUAACAGAAAAGUGUGAUUAGAUUUUGCCUUUCUGUUUUGUUGAUGAGACAAUAAUGAUUGCAAGGCACAACUCUUUAAAAGCAUUUUUAAGAUCUUACAUUUGUCUUUUAAUUAAAUUAGAACUAUCUACUCUAAGAGAUUAUAUUGGAUUCUUGACAAUUGUAUUACAUUAAUUUAAUUAAAAAUUUAUAAAGAAUUUUUUAGUUCAAAUAUUUAAAAAGAAUUUUUGAGUUUAGUACCCUUUCUCACCGUUUGAAAAUUAUUAAAUAGCUAAAAAGUCAAUAAAAUUAUCUAAUAAUGUUCAUGCUAUUAAAAUACCAGUAAUGCUACACAUCCCAAAUUUCUUAUCCCAAAAAGUUAUCCCAAAUGAUGUGUCAUUAAUUGAGUGGUUGAUAAUUAUUUACAAUAUCCAAGUGAAUUAAUUGUAUUAUCUCACCAACCAAUUGAUAAAUGCCACAUCAUUUGGGAUAACUUUUUGGGAUAAAAAAUUUGGGAUGUGUAGCAUUAUUGUUAAAAUACAGUACCUCAAUAACAUAGUCACAGUAAAAGUUGGUAAAACGGAUUACUGAAUUGUUUUCGUGUCGUAUUAAUUUCGUAUAUUUAAGCUAACCCAAACAUCAUCUAUUUGAUAAUUGUGUCAAAAUAUUAAGAUUCUAAUUCGAUAUGGAAAAUAAAUAAAUUAUCUAAUAAUUCAUUUAAUAUAUAUGUAUUCAACAAGAUUUACAUCAAAUAUCUACACUCGAUAUUAUAAAAUAUACAUAUUUACCAAUAUUAUUACACAUCUAUAAUUUUGAACAUAUGCAUGGUGCUUUAUUUAUAAAAUUCUAUAUAUAUUUAGAACACCAAUAAAGUAAAUGUGUAGAUAUGGGUAGCAUGUAUAUUUAUAAUAUUAUAUUUGAAGAGGGAAUUAUGUCUAAUGUCUAAAUUUUGAUGACAAAAACUUACAAGUUAAUUUACAAUAAAAAAACAUAACCAUGUCAUUAAUUAGGUAAAUGGGUUGAGAACUUUAAUAUUAACCCGAUAGAGAAAAAAAAAUUAUAUAGAUUCGGACCCCGCCCAUUUAAGAAUGAUAUCAAAUUUGAUAACUCAUAUAUAUUUAUUUGUAUCGUGUUUGUUUUAAGUAAUCAGAUUGUAUCAAACUUUGCCGUUUCUAGUCACUAUAUUAUAUGUACUAAAUUUUAUUACAAAUAAUAUGUGUAUUAUAUAUAGGUAGUGGCUAAGUUAGAUCAACUCUAUGGUAAUAUAUUAACAAUGACCGUCAAAUCAUAAUAAUAAAUAUAAAUUUAAUAUUUAUCUUUAUAAUCAUGUGCUGAUCAUCAAUACUCUACCGCAGAGCGGAUCCAACUUAGCGCCAAUCUUAUAUAUAUUAUUACAACAUUGGUGUGAAAGUCAAACAUUGAGGCUGAUUAUUAAUAAAUAACAGUGUUUAGUGGUUGUUGGGCACCCUCGAAGUUUGGUAUAAUAACAGUUUGGUCUCUUUUUUAAAAAAUUAUUCUAUUUUCAGUCAUUACAUUAUCUAUAUCUUGUUUGCAAUUAUUAGAAUUACGUGCUUAUGUUGCAACUAAAGUUUGUUAUAAGUUUUGUUAUUCGUACAUUUUUCUUUUCUUUUUUUACGACUUACGUGUUAAUUUAAGACAUAUGCUACAUAAUAUUUGAGAAGUGUAAUGAUAGAAGUUGAUGAAUUAUUUUAGACUUAAACCCAUGAUUUUAUAUAUCCAUUCAAACACAUGCUUAAGAGAGAAAGAUAAGUUUGAGAUCAUUACUUUAGUUUGCCAUGACUGAUCCUUAUCUGCUGAGCUCUUCUAAAGCUACUGCCUUGUUUAGAUUCACUGCAAAUCACAACUUCAAGCAAUAAUUUGCACACAUACAAGCUAUGGAGACAGAGAGAGAAGAGGUUUUGUUUUUAACACUCUCGGCCAAGUAAAAAAAAUGAGUGAACAGUAACUUUCAAUUGGUCAAGGUUUCUUAAAUAUUUUAUUUGAGUAUGGGGACCUUUCAUGGAUUAGUACAAAAUUUUCUAUUCUAUUAUGAGUUAGAAUAACACAAUUUAAAGUUAUAUUUGUCGAUACUAUACUUCCUUAUAGGGUGUAACAAAAUUAGAUUUAUUAACAUCAUAAAAGAAUCUGUGAGAAUUAUUGUUUAGUAUUUGAUAUUAGUUAUGCAUUAAUACGAUAAAAAAUAAAUAAUUAAAAUGAUUUAUGCUAACCUAUAAUAUAUAAGUAAUAAAUUCAACAGUGUAAUGAUAGCAGUUGAUUAAACACAAGAAAGUACUUAUCGUUAAAAUAUGGUUGUUGCCUGCUUGAAAUGAAAUCCUAGAUAAAUCAUAAAUGUCCCUCUCGCGGCAAUUCUCAUUUGUCUCUUUACCCAUGCUUGUUUCCUCACUCAUUUUCUCGGACCAUGAGGAUUGAAAGUGAUAUACUGAUACUUCAGGGGACUAUAUUGUUAUUAUGUUAAAUUUAGGGGUAAUCAACCGACAUUUUCUUCCUCUUCUAAGUUGUAAUAUGCAAAUUUCAAUUAUACUGCUGUCAGCCGUUGGGUAUAAAUAGUAGUAACCCUAACCCGUUAUUGAGGUAUUUUUAAACAGUUUUAUUUAAUUAAUUUCAUUUGUAGUCAAAUUAAUUCCUCAACAUAUGUAGUCAAAUUAAUUAAUUAAUUAAUACCAUAGCACAACUAGCUACAUGCCUAAAACUUUGGUCAAUUUCAUUUGUAGUUUUGUACAAUAUACAAAGUCCUCACACUUCUUUUAUUUUUUUCUCCCCUCCCCCCUCUUUUCUUUUAUAUAUAUAUUUUUUAUCAUUUUCUUCGGAUAAGAUACAUGACUUAGAUAACAAUUGCAUUGGAUGUUCAUUGCCUCACAUCUGACCCGGAAAUGAGUUUCCAAAUAAUAUUAUUUUAAUUAAACCAAUGGGUUUAUUUAACUGUAAUGGUCAUGUUCCAACACAUCGAAGUUUUAAUGAUUCGCUUAUUAUUUGGUCAACCAUAGGAAAGUCCAACUGACCAAAGCAAUGAGAAAAAUCUGGUAACCAAGCCAAAUUUUUAUAUAAUAAGUUAGAACUUAAGAUUUAUAUAUUUAUUCAUCAACAUCAAGCCUUAAUAAUCAAAUAUUAUUGUAUGUAAUGAUAAUAGGAAAAACCAAGUUAGAAUAUGACAUCUCAAUAUUUUUGUUUUGUUCUAUUUUUUUUUAAUGAAUUAUUAUCAUACACGAUGCAUUGUAUAGUAUACCAUUAGCCUCCUCCGAGCUUAAUUUGAAACAAACAAAAAUUAAAAGAAUUCUUUGAAUUGAUUUCGUAACGUUUUAUUUGUAUUAUUAAGAGGCCAAACCAAUUGAAACUAUAUAUAUAUAUAUGCUUUAGUACAAUCAUCUAAUGGUACCAUCACAAUUACAAAAUCACUAAAUGAAUGAUAAUAUAUCUAAAUAAAUAUAUGUGUGAGAUGUUGUUGUCUAGGGAAAAUGGUGUAACCAAUGCACUCUUUCUCCACCAAAUGGCAAUGUUAAUGCAUUUUUAAGACCAACUUCUUGUCAGCUAUAGCUGUCCAUAUUAUAUCAUAUCUCCAAAUCAAUGACGUAUUUCAUGAUGUUACAUUUUCUAUGAAGCUUACUUUUCUUAAUUACCAUCAUUUUCUAUGAAGCUAACUUUUCUUAAUUACCAUAAAUUGAAAAUUGGAUUUUUUUUUUUUUUUUUUGACUUCUUUUAUCAACUUCUGUAAUCAAGUUGGUGAAAAAGGCAACACAUUCCAUGCAAAAUCUUCACCAACUUAUUGGCAUUGUUGGCAAUUUUCUUGCAACUAAAAUUUUCUUAUGCCCUCUUACUUUUGGAGAUUUGAAUAAAAGAAUCCACCUAGGAACCAGAUUUUCAUCCAACACAAUGUGAUUAUGAUCAUUUAAUUUGCAGCAAAUGGCAUGAAGCAGAGAUUCCGAGUAAAAUAGUAUUUUGAAUUGUCCUGGUAUAAGUUGAUGAAUACACAGUAGCAGAUAGAAUUGGAGUCUAAUGACUUUACUUGGGUGGUGGAUUAAGGGUAGUAGCUGCUGUGGUUUUUGUUUACUUUUGGAAGCGCAAUCGUUAAAAUUUCGGUAAACGUGAUUCUAUCCCAAGACCGCCGAUCCGCUAUAGCUUAUUAAAGUUUGUGAUUCUCUCCUACGACAGCUCCAGCUUAAAAAUUUGUGAUUUUAUUCCUUAAAACUCACAGCAUCUCAAUACAAUGAUUUUACCCUUUUUUUUUGUUUUUGUUCCCUUGACCAAAUCAUGCCUCGUGUGAUUACUGGAAAGAAGAUUUCAGGGGGUAACAAAUUGCAACACAAGAACAGUUCAUCACUCUUAAGGAAACCAGAGCAAAUAGAAUAACUUACCGUAGAGUUUUCUAAUAAAUGUGGCUACAAAACUGUGAAACCAUUAACUAUGAACAGAAUAAUUUUUAAACUUGUACGCUCAAUUGUUUAGUUUAUGUUUCUGGGACGGACAUAAAUACUGCAUCUUCUUCAAGCCAAAGCAGUGAACUGAUGCAUUUUGUUUUCUCAGUGCACAAGAGUCUUUCUUCCAAAUGUGCAACCAGAUACUUCUUUGAAGCCGCUUCUUGGGGAAACUGGUAAGAGUCUGGCUGUCUUCAAGCUAUCAACCCAGAUCUAUUGCAUUUUCGUUUUCUCAAGGAGCUACUUGCGGCAUCAGAUGAGAAAUUCUAAAAUACCUCAGAUGUACUACAACCAAUUGAUGCAUGCAUGACAAGUGUAAUUGAAUUUAAUACAACCACCACUUGCAUGAUAGUGGUUCAAAAUAAAUGCACACAUGUCAUGGUAUUAUUGCUUGUUGUAUGAAUGACAUGGUACCUCAGAUGUAUUCUAGAAUUUCUCACAUCAGAUACUAUCAAGGAUCAUAAUUGUUAUUUUGUAUCCCUAACCGAAUGUAAUUCUUACUUAUCUUUCUUCUAUUACAAAAGCUGAAGGUGUUCGCAAGAACUUGAAACAGAAUCAAUCGUUGAUAAUGAAGAUUUGGGAUGUAUUGCUCCUUCUGGUUCCCUUGGUUUCCUCUUGGCUUCAUUUAGCCGCUUUGACUUAUUAAGAGACUGAUCUGCUUUGGAGAUGAUUUUUGAGACUGUAAAUCCUGCAACUUCAAACACCUGAGAUCUAUAGGGAAGUAAAGCAUUGCGAAGGACAAUGUCAACUCCUUCGUAGGUCCAAACACCUAAUGCUGCCUCUCCUUUAAGUCCGACAGAAAACCAGCCAAGUCCGGCAGCAGCAAUAUCUACAGAACUUGAAUCCCAACUGCUACCAGAGACAUGAAAUUCCUUUCUCACCCAUUUUCCUAGCUCUUCAACUCGUUUCUCUCCAAUUGGUGGCUGGAUCAACAACCAAUGCACAGAUAGCAUCAAAUUUAUAUAAGUUAAAACCAUAAUGCAACGUGCCUCUCCCAAGAUAAUAAUAAUAACAGAAACUACAUUUCAUUUGAAUGCCAAGGAUUACAAGCACCAAAACCAGACAGCACAGCAUGCCAAAAAUAGUUUGUUACCAAUUCGCAAAAGUACCUACAGAGCCUUUGGAAUUCAAUAUCCUUUUCUAAUCUGUUUAUUUCCUUUACAUGGCCUCCGAAGUUUGAUAACAAGGGUUCCUUUUGGCUUCAAAUUAACAGCCCAAAUUUCCCAAAGCAUAUGCUAAGGUCAUAUACAUGUUAAUAUAGAAGUAAACAUUACCAAUUGAGGGUGUUUCUUGCAUCUUAAUUUCUUGAUGGAUAUUAAACCUUCUUAUAUGGAUCAAGCUUCCUUCUUAUAUGGAUCAAGCUUAUAAUAUGAGAUCUAUUUUUGAAGUUUCUCCAAAUGUCAUUACUCAUCAAAAUUUCCUAUAUGACACGCUUUCUUUUUGCUGUCUCACAACUAAAAUAGCAUGUUGUUGAAAGAACUUGAAUAGGAAUAACUAAAUCCUAUCAGUUUAUUCAGAAAAAAAAAUGGUAAUAAGUUUUUCAGUUGAAUUUUGUAGAAAGACUAAUUCAACUACAUUGCUUCUCAACUGCUCAUCAAAAUCAAAGCAAUGGAGCACUCACUAUAAUUGCUCCAAAUUUUAGACUAUUAGAAAGUGAAAGAAACUGCAGAAAUAUCAUUUGCUAACUAGGGAAAGGCAUACCUGUAGCUGACGACCAAAAUGCUUCUCUACCAUUGUGCACGCAUUUUCUGUUUUCCCCAUGUGUAAUGGAAGAUAUGGUGAUGCCCACACUGUCACAUAGAUAGACUCUACAGAUGAUUCCUCAACAUCCAUCCUCAUGAGCCCGGCAAUGUGAAUGGAAUGACCUGCCUGCAGCAAGCGAAGAAGCCCAACUUGAGCUAAACACAUAACAAAGCUGCCAUAAUAAUAUUAAAAGAACUCUUACAUUGCUAAAAGAUCAAACACUCAAUCUGACUUCAAUAUGGACGCAUAAUAUCAUUGAAGCAAUGCUCUUAACACAUAUUUUUCAGCUACCCUUGUUGAUAAAAAUGACAACUAUUUCAUGCCAGUCCAUUACUAAACUAAUAAACUGACAAUUUUUCAGCUUGAUCCUAAUAUUGCCAACAAAGGUCGAAUCUUAAACAAACCUUGAUCCUAAAAUCCCUGAAGCAAUACUCACGUUGCUAAAAGAUCAAGCACCCAAUCUGAAUUCCUAUGAAGUCAUAGUAUCCCUGAAGCAAUGGGCUUGUUACAUAUUUUUCAGAAAAUCCUUACCGAUAGAAAUAACAGCAUUUUCAUGCAAGUCCAUUACAACUAAUAAACUCACAAUUACUCGGUUUAUCCUAAUACUGCCAACAAAUAUCAAAUCAUAAACUAACCUUGAUCCUAUAAGUUCUCGGCUUCAACUCCUUGUUAAUUUUGACAAGUUUUUGUUCCUCUCUUGUCAACCUAGUGGUAAUCUGAUUGGGAUGUAGCAAUCCCGGUGUGUCAAACAACUUAGCCUGAGCAGGAAAAACUCCUUCCACUCUCACGAUCCCAAGCGUUGUUCCAGGCACGGGUGCCUCUGUCAAAUGACUAACAAUAUUCUUCUCUUCUACAUCUCCUCCUCUACCAGCAUCCACACUCUUAGAAAUGGCAUUCAAUAAUGUACUUUUCCCCGCAUUUUGUGCUCCUAUGGCCCACACAUUCCCCCUCUUUCCCGCCAAAUCAACAACAUCAUCUAUAAGACUCUUUAAACCCCAGUUCUUAACAGCACUAACGAAAUGCAACUUCGUAAUCUUACUAAUGCCGUCUUCUCUAGCUCGUUGCCUAACCCAAUGUUCAAAUCUAGUAGGCGACAAAGAACUCGGCAACAAAUCAAUCUUAGUCACAACUAAUACAACUCUAGGAACAUUACCCGACUUACCUUCUUUCCAUGCCCUCUCAUUCUCCUCAGCUGUAUCUGAUACCAUUUUCGCCACUUUCCUAGGAAACGACCCAUCAAAAUCAGCUGCAUCAACCACCAUCAAAACAACCGAUCUAGCCCCACUGGCCGACAUCAACUUCCUCCCAACCGUAUGAUCAAAAUCAAAAUCCGGCAACAAAUUCUCCACAGUCACAUCCUUCACCUUCCCAUAAUGCCUUAAAGCAUGACACCUGGCACAAACCACCGGCUUUUCGUGUUUUUUAACUUCUGAUGUUUCAUUUUCAGCUUCAAAAACAACAAGCCCGCCCUUUUUGAGGGAAUUUGAAAAUUCAGACUCAUUGGCUACGUGUACAAGAUGGGAUUUUCUCACUUUGUUCAAAUUCUGCGAAGGUCUAAUGAAGUAACCGGGUUGUUUCGGGUUCGUGUCUUGCAUGUGGACGCCGCAGCCGGGGCAGACGGUGAGUUUGGGAGUGGCUUCAUCGUAAUUUCCAUCUCUUGUCAAGGCCAAAGAUGAAGAUAGUGGCGGUGGUGCUGUGUUAGUGGGUUGUGAAGAGAAGAAGGAGGAGGAGGAGGAGGAGGUGGUGGUGGUGGGUGCUUUUAGUGCUUUUGUGGGGUGUAAUUGGAGAUGGGGGCUUGUGAUUUUGGUUAAAAAUGAUUGAUGCAAGAUGGGUUUCAGUUUUGAUUGAGAGAUAUUUCUUGCUCUUGAGAGCAUUUCUUCUCUUUGUUUUGACUGAAAUUUCUUUUUCUUUUCAGGGUUUAGGGUUCUAGAGAGGCUUUGAAGAUGAACAGGCGUAAAUGGUUGAUGCACUGAAACGACGACGCUUAAUAGGCAGAGUUGCAAUUUGCAUUCAAAUCCUCACAAUACUGUGACAAAAUUUCAAAUGAACUAUCUCACACUUUUUGGUAGCCAAGUUACUUGCAAAUUGUCUAUAACUAUAUCAUCAUUUCACUUUACAUUUUCAGUAUUUUCUCUCUGAUUUUUUUAAAUUUUCUAUAUCAUUCUCAUUUUUUCUUUUUACUUUGAAAACAUAAUCGUUAUAUCCUCUUAAUUUUUAUUUAUUUUAACAGAUAUUGGUUUUGAAAUAUGGGAGGAACUUAAAAUUUUAUUUUUAAGUUGUGUGCAAGUUUUGUAUACAUUGACCACAAAGAUGAAAUUAAUGCUGAUUUUUUUUUAAUUAGAUUUUUCAAUGUUUUGGCAUUGACUCUGAAGAAUUACUUCAAUUAACUUUCCUAAAUCUUUUUUUUCCUUCUCCAGUUACAUUAAUUUGGUGUAUCUAUCACCUUGAUUAUAAUAAGAGUCUAUGCUUAUAAAUGUCUCUAAAGCUAAAUAAAAUUGGGAAAUUAUCAUUCGUAUACUCUAUAUUUACUCUGUUAUCAAAAAUACUACAACACUUUGACGGUGUAUCAAUCGUCUACCCUUAGUUGACAAAAUGUAUCAGCCGACCACCAAACCAUUAGUCCGUUAGUAUACCCUUAAAUUCUCUUUUUAUCACUUGUAUACCCUUAAAUUAUCACUUGUAUCAUAUGAAAAAAUCAAAUUACCCUUUUGAUGUCAUCAUACUUAAACGGCAACUAACGAUUUGAUGGUCAGUUGAUACAUUUUGUCAACUUAGGGUGGACGAUUGAUACACCCUCAAAGUGUUGUAAUAUUUUUUAUAAUAAAGUAAACUAAGAGUAUACAAAUGAUAAUUUCCCAAUAAAAUUUAAUGAAUCAAUCACCUAUUUGCAAUAAGAGUCUAUCUUACAAAUGUAUGAGAAGCUAUAAUAAAAAGCGUAAAAAUAUAGGCUCAGGCUUCACCUACAAGCCCUGAUCCAUCACGAAAGCCCAAUAAAUAACUAAAUAAUAUAUUUUAUUUUAAUUAAAAUACUCAUUUUAAUAUUUAUUUAACCUAUCCAUAACAUAUAAUUAAAAAUUUAAAUCUUUUUAGCUUAAUUUUAAAUCCUAAUCUAAUAAAAACUACAUUUAUAUAUUAUAAAUUUGUAAAAUUUAAUAAAAAGUUUCUAAAAUAUAUAACACAAAAAUUUGGACUUCUCGGCCCAACCGACCUGAAAAGAGACAUGCUUGGGCCAGGCCUGGCUAAUUUCAUUUUCCAAAACACUGGAGUGAAAAUUGCUCCAAACAAGACAAAAAUUCGACCUUUUUCCAAAAAUCAAGCGCUGAAUUCUCAACCAUGUUAAUAAAAAUAAUGUGGAAAAGACUAAAAAAUUUAUCAGAACAUGAAACUUAUUGCAGAAGUUAGAUUUACCUGUAAGCAAAUAGAUAAAAGAAGAAAAAAAGUGAUUGCAAGCAAUCUAUAUCUACACAUUUACACAGAAGUAUUUCGACUACCACAUACGGAUGAUGCAGAUUCGAAGUAAAAUAUCUUUGACGGGGUUUCUAGUUAUAUGUAUCUCACUAUUCUUUCCAUAUUCGGCCGGCUACUUUGAGCUUCAACUCCUGCCUAUCUCCACCAGAAAAGAAAAGAGCUAAAUUCCUUUGAAUGAUUAAUCCAUCUUGGCUAUCUCUAACUUUUUUAUGGCUAUCGCGGAUGCUUCUAGGUAUUCCUUGCCACGUAAGCUUUCUACCAUUUCCGCCAACUUCCAGACUGUAACUGAAUUGUCUGGCCUCUUCUUCAUCACCCAUGAAUCGGAGGAAGGCCAUGUAAACGGGUGCCAUUCCGAGGUGAAAAGCCUCAAAAUGCAGGCAAAAGUGCCGGCCAAAGCAAUUGAAAACCUGCACCAAAUAACGAACAUUUAAGAUGGUUAGGUUGGGGCUGGCGGAAAAAUAGGAUGCAAUUCGAGGAAACAGUACCCUGUCACACAACUAUCUGCACUUCGGAAUGCAUAAGCAUUCUUGAAAUAAAUGAGUGUGUUAGUAUUUUGAUUCCAUAUCAGGGAAUUUUUUAGCUUAGAACCAUCAUCCAAAACUCAAUAUUCGUAAGCAAGCAUUUAACGUUUUAGUUCACCAUUUAGCAACAAGCAAAGCAUGCCUUUAUCUUUGCCCAUAAACCCAUAAACGUUAAUAGUUAGUCUUAUUGGCGAAAAAGAUCUAACUAAUCCGAAGCUUGCAUUCAUAUGGACCUAAAAAGUUCAGUUCCUUAAAGGGCAAAAUGGAAAUGGAAUUUCUGGAAGAAGUAUCUUCUAAUACAACUAAGCUGGCAUCUGCAAAGUGAUGCCAGUCACGAUUUACAAUUGAGAGAGGUGAGAAUCAGAGGAGAAGAAGAGAUGAGAGGUCUUACUGUUAACAUCCAUGUAGCAUUUUCAAUUUCUAGUGCAUUGGCUUUGACAUAUCUGUGGUUGAAAGUACUCCCAUCGUGCAUGUCAACUUUGUGAUCAUUUUUUAGAUGCCUAACAAGAAGUGGGAUAUCACCAGUGACAGAACAUUCAGCGCCGGCAUAGGGGCAAUUGUAUGGACGAUAUUUGCAGUUUUUUUCAUGCUUUAGCUUGCUGUAAUAUGGGAAUAUAUCUUGACAACCCCAAAUCUGGUAUCUGCAAGGGAGUUCCAGCGACUCAGCUACUUUCUCCAAUGCCAGGCACCUUAUAUUUCCAAGUUCAUGGCGGCAAGUUGGACAACCAGUGCGUACUCUAGCCUUGCAACUUGAGCACAAGGUGUGACCAUUUGGACACUGUUCAUAGAAAAUUAGAGAAUUUAUCAAUACAAGAAGAUCAAUUUAAAUAGUAUUGUGUUACAAUUAUGAUGAAUGUUCUUAAUUCGUUAACUUUGGAAAUUGGGCAAGAUUGGGAAAUGGAACCAAUUCGUUCACUAUAACACACAAUAACAGUAAAAGGAGUAUCAUCUUUUCAGGAAAUGCAUCUAUAUCUACAAGGCUAAAUGAUGAAUCAUAUUAUAAGAUGAACAAACAUUUCCAUAAAAUGACUAAUGCACUCAAGAAUCUCUACAGUCUGAUUCACUAACUUCUGACAAUUAACUGAAAUCAAUUUCUUGAAUAAUUAACAUAUUUGAAUUGUUUCACUUCAUAUGGCAUUGCUUCCUAUGUCAAUUUAAUGCUAAAAUCCCUCAAGUCCCAAUUUAAGAAGCUUUAUUUAUUUAUCUAUUUUGACAAAGAAAAAAGGAAGUAAAAGAUGCUUAAACACAAGGAAAACUUCUACUGUUCUUCUCGUUUUGUGUUUUGAUACACAGAAAGAAAAUACCUGGUAAAUUGGAGGGUACAUUAAAUUCAAGCAAACGGGACACUCAAGUAGCUCGUGCACAUCAUUAUUUGAUGUUGUUCCAAGAUUUCCACUGAAACCAGUUGUAGCUUUCCUACAAGGGGAACCCCUCAACUCCACACUAGAAGUUGCCAUUUCAUAAUCUGAAAACUCAAUGCUAGACUCAAUCACCUCCUUGCAUAUUCCUCCUCCAGGAGCCAUGCUGCCUUCCCUUAGAAACUGCUACUACUAUAUGUCUCUUCGUUCCCAAAUCAAAAUCAGCAUCAUAAUCUUCACUGCAAAUGAUACCACUUUCUUUCUUUUUAGCUGGUUUUGCCUGAGAAAAGUUGGAAAAGGACAUUAUCAAAUGACGGAGAUACUAUGAAUGGUGACAAUUUUUCAUGGUCCAGAAAUUUGUCAAACUUGCGUAUGGUCCUCUAUACAAGUAUAGUCACAAUCCAUUGGGCCUCCAUGAUUUAUUGCAUAACCGUAAGAUAUAUUAUACAAUCAACUUGAUCAGAAGACAAGCAAUUGAAUUUGACAAGAAGUGUGGAUAGUAAGUACUACGGCAAAUAUUUGAAUCAAAAUUCAUCUCAUGCAAAAUCUCUAUUCAAUGAACACCAAUUGAUAUGAAACAAAAAUAGUAUCAAACAUCAGACGAAGCAAUAAAGCUUUGACUUAUUUAUACUCUCACAAGCAUCAGUGAAGUGUAGAUGCAGCCAAGUCAAUAAACAAACAAAACACAAAAAAAAAAAAAAAAAUUACCGAGAUGAAGGUUAGAGCCAGUAUUCAUAUUAAGAGCAAAAAAUAGCCAAAAAAGAACAAAAUUCGGCAAAAGAUUCAAUACCCAGAUGAGAAAUCAAGAAAAGAAUCAAAGAAAAAGUGGAACAAAGCUUUAAACCCACCUUAAGAAACAAACCCAGAUGAGAAAUGCAGCUAAGAAACGAUUGAAGAUUCAAUCAUUUCAAUUAAUGAAAACUUUGGGACUCAAUUAUUUCUCCAUUUAGGACCCAAGAAUGAAAAAACAAAAAACAAAGACAACAACAAAAAAGAAAGCUACUAACGUGGAGAAAUUUCCUGAAAAGCUGGCUCCGCAAAUUGCGUGUCCAAGAUUGAUUGGUAGAUGACACAAUAACAAAACUACAUCACAUAACAUGAGCAGGAGUCAAAGAUUUUGGAUAUAAAAAUUUUAAUUUUAAUUUAAUUUGUAUCACAAAUAGUGACAAGUGCUAUGUGUUAUGUUCUUGUACCAGCUUGGAUGUUUGAGGACCAGUUUUAAGAUUCUUUUAUUCAAUUGUGGGGUUAUGUUUGGUUUGGUAUUUUAAUGGUGACUCAGUCAUCUUCUGAUUUGAUUUAUUUAUUGUCAAUUAUGCUUUGGGAUUUACAAUGUGUGAAGGUGACAUUUCCAGCACGCAACGUUUUGAAGCGAUUCGAUUUGAUUUGGUUUGAUUUGGUUUGAUUUCUGGGCUUUGCUGCUAAUGGCCAAUGUGACCGUUAAAAGUGUUUGAAAUUAGAAAAACGAGUCGCUGUCAUUAGAUGUGGUUGGUGUUCAUUGGGAGUUUAAAGAGGAAUGAAAUCAAACCAAAGUUUUGGAUUAGCUUUUGGUCCAUUUUGAAUUGUGGUCAAGUGAAAAAAAAUAAAAAUUAAUAAUAUGUAUUAAAUAUAAAUUUUAAAUAAUAAUUUUUUUAUUAUACAAAUAAAAAAUCAUAUCAAUAUAAUUUAUAAGCUAAAGUACAUAAUAUUUACCAAACACUUUAGUGCUGUAACUUUUAAAAUACAGCCGUCGAACCUCAAUUUUAAACACAAUAUUUGUCAUUCCAUAUGUGUUUUGAGAUUAAAGGGUUGUAACUUUUGGUUCAUAUAUACUUUAAAUGAAACCAUUAUUCAUAGAGUAAUUAAGGAUAAGCACAAAAUUGAAUAUAAUUAAAGCGUGGUGAUGUCCAUGUCAAUUUGAGGAGGUGCCGAACUUCGCUUCGUUGAUGGAUCAAAUCAAAGAAAGUUUUAGCCCAAUUCUUGUUGUGUUUGACUAUGAUUGAAGUGUUGUAAAUUUUUUUUUUUAAUUCUCAUAUGUUUUAAAAUGAAAUUGCUAACUGUAGAAUAUAAAAAGAAAAAUACAAAAUUCAAUAUUAUCAAAUGUCUUUGCUAUACACUUUGCUUGUUGCACUUUUAAAAUUAAGUUGAAAUUCAACGGUCAUAAACCAAUUCUUAGUGAUAGAAAUAUGAUUAUUAAGAUGUUUUACAAGAACAAAUGGUGAAAAAUCUUUUCUUCAUGUUUCAUGUUAAAACACAAAAGUAGUUUUUAGCAUUUUACACACUCUUUUUACUUCUCUCUUUUUUUCUUUUUUCCCCCUCUCUACAAUUAUAUUUUUUUUUCAGUUUUUAAAUUAUAUAUUUAAUUACAUCUCAGAAGUCAAAACACCAAAAUCAAAACACUAUUUUUAUUUCAUAAAAUUGAAAUGAUAAGUUAAGGUCUGGGCCUUGAUGUUGGGCCGGGUUGUAGAGUGUGCGCCUCCGGGCCUGAAGUAUCUUCGUGCGAGGUUUCUUUUUUUUUUUUUGGGGUGCUUUCACUGAACCGGACCGAUUGGUGGCUGUGGUUGGUUCACUUCUGUUAUAAGUUUAAAGAACCGAUUGAUUUGGUUUGGAUUUUCAAUCCAAUAUAAAAUCGAGCUGAAAAUAAAAAUACGUACAUUAAGAUCGAUAUUUAAAAAAAAAAAGUCGAGAAUUGAAAUAGAUGGCUUAAUUUUCUAAAUUGAAUAAAUUGGAUUCAAAAUUUUACGAAUCAUUAUUGUUUUAUUCAGUUUAAUUUUUUUAAAAAAUUAAAACUUAUUUGUCACAGUUUUAAUUGAGUUAAUUCUAAUCAUAAUAAGCCAUAUUCAUAAUGCUAAGAGAAUUUUAGAUGAAAUAAUAUUAAAUGAAACUAUUUAAUAAAAUUAUAUCACAUGUUUUGAAAUUUUUCUCAUUAUUAUUAAUUAUUAUCACUGUCACGAAUCAUGAUUGAUUAAUUUCAUAACGAAUAUGUAUACGAUAUUAUCUUUAUUGGAUGUAAUUUAUUUUUUACAAGUAUGACCUCGAAAUUGGCUAUUGGCAAUCCAUUAAAGGCUAGUGUAUAAAGCAGUAUUGCUUGAAGAUCGAUAUUACUUCUUCAAUUUGUUGAGUUUAAAGCUUAAACGCCAUGCUAAAGCAUGACGAACUGAAGAAGGCGGCAAGAAGCAAUCCAUUACAUUGUCAUGGCCAGCUCAGCCUCCCCCAAGCUUUAUAUCUUGAAUUAUGUGUCGCAAUAUUUUACACCUCCCAAUAGGAUCGAGACACGUUAUUUUCACGUGACUAAUACGUAGUCAUGCAUGGAUAAGGCCAAUAGGAGCAUCGUUGUGAUAAAUUUUGGCAACUUUGUUGACUGCUAAUUAAUGACAAGUCAAAAUUUUGAACUGAUUGGGGUUAUGAUUUAACUAAUGACAUAAUUUAAGAACCUUCAUAUAACCCUUUGAUUUUUUUUUUUUCAAAAAAAGGAAGAAAUAUAUCUUCUGCUUAUAAAUUUGAAAAUCGAUAAAAUAAUGUUCAAUUAAUUUUUUUUUGGUUAAAUUAACAUGACCUAAAACAACUAUUAAUCAAUCAUAUUUUUUGUUACUGAAUAAUCCAGAACAUUUAUUCAUUUGCUGGCUGCUUUUGAAUGGUUUAUCACCUAACUAUUUCUAUAAUCCAUUCAUCAUCCCCAUUUGACAAUUAAUUUAUUCUAGAAUUUUAAAAACAAUAAGCCAUGGGAAUCUCAAGUGUAACUUCCCAAUUUGUUGUUUCUUCCAAGAAACCAUCAUCAAAGACCUCAUUUCUCUUGUCCUAUUUGGUCAACAAGUUAUGCAUGAAUAAUAAAUUAAUUAUUAAAUAGUUUGUUCUAAAAGCUGCUUUUCUCAAUCUAGCUUGUGCAUGAAGUCAAAAAACAACUUCUUCAAGUCUUAUCCUACAAGUCAAAUUCAUAAGAAGCUGCUUCUUGAACAACAAGCUCUCUCUCUUUCUCUAUAUAUAUAUAUUAAGCCCAUCUCCCAAGCCUUAGCUUAUCAUACACAUCGCACAGAUAAUUUAUUUUCCCUCCGGUUACAUACAACUUUCCUAAACAUUUUCUCAAGAAAACUAAUGGAGCCAGAAAUGUCACUAGCCGAUGCCUUGAUUAAGGUUGCAAUGUUUGUGCUUGUUCAAGUGCUGGUUUACUUAAUUCUUUCGAAUUCUUCGGAUAUUUUUUCGGAGAAUAAGAAGAAGAAGAUGAUGAAAUCUUCCAGCUUCAAAACGGCACGUUCUGUUAGCAUUCGCCGUAUGCUUGCUGCCAUCUCCGAUUUGCCGUCUGAGGCGGAGGUCUCAUCACCGUCUCUAAGAGGUUCAAGAUUAUCAGACGAAUUUCCAAUUUCUGAUGAUAAAGAAUCUUAAAUUAUUCGCUUCUAUAAAUAUAGCUAGUUCCUUAAUUAAUUCUUUUGUUCUUUGAAUCUUUGUACCGAUAUCAUUACUGUAUUUAUUCAAUGAAGAUUUUUAUUGUGUACUUCCCUUGUAUAAGUAUUUACAAUUGAAUUAUAUUAAUUUCAUUUUUGGGGCCUUUUAGGCUUCAAGCUUCUUUGAUCACCCAGGGAUGCUCAUAUGCAACAUCUAAAGCAUCCUUUAUUGCAUUGUAUCUGCAUACAGAAGAAUCAGUGAAAAUAUCAGUUGGCUUUCGGUUACAAUUCUCAAAGUUUAAUAGAAAACUUUGACAAGUGUAAUAGAAAUGGUGAUUGUUAUUAUUAGGCCCUUUUGGGUUUUGUUUGUAAUGCACAGGCAACACUAGUUACCUUUUACAGAGAAGGCCUUGAAGCAAAUCAUUUUAGCUUUGGAUUAAUAGAUUAAAUGCAGGAUAUUCACCUUGCCAUAAUUUUCUGGCAUGCUAUCAGUAAGAAAAGGAAAACACGUGAUAAAAUUAUGUGACUCGUUAAAAAUAAUGAUGUAAUUAUGGAUCAAUUAGAAAACAACACGUGAUUUCCAAGUUACAAAAAUUUACUAGAAACUUAUUCUUGAUUACCAGUGAUAUUAUUUCAAAUAUUUAGAUUCAGUACUGAUGUGAGCUUCAUGGGUGAUCAUCUUAUUAUAAAGUUGUGAUCGGAUAAAAAUAUAAAUAUAAAUAAAUCUUAACAGCAAUUUUUGUGAUCUCCUUGCCUGUAGUUGCCUAAUUAUGUCUUCGUCAGGCAGCAGCAAUCCGGAUGCUGACAUAGUUCCUAAGAAUCCCAAUGCGGGAUAGUGUUAAUAAUCCUGACACUUGGAUUAAAUCCCAUGGCUGGUCAGCACAUGGACCAAAGUGAUAAUGGUUGAGUUCAAAGUUCAAACCCCCUCAUCCAUUUAAUUUGUUUUUGUAUUAAUUUAAAAUAUGUGAUUUUCAAGUUACAAAAAUUAUGUUUUCACUGUUAUAUUUAACGAAAAAAAAAGAGUAGGCUCUUCAUAUUUUUUUAAAAAAAAAAGGAACGAAAAAGUUGGCUAUUCAUAUUUUAAUGGGUCUAGCUACCGUGCAAUUGUUGCACGAUAUCCCCUAUUUUGUCUUCUUGUGUUUUCACUGUUAUAUUUAACGUCAGAGUAAAUUCAACGGCGGGAAUGGGAUGGGAUGCUAUAGUUUAGUAAUUAACGCUACAUUCCCUGUUGUAUACUGAAAUUCUAAAAAAAAUUAAAUAUUUUAAAAUUAUGACACAUAAAUCCAGAUUGUAUUAAAUUUUUAAAUAAUUUUAACAAUUAAAAAUAUAGGCAGGUUGUCUCGAGUUAAAAAAUUUGACAUAAAAAUAAAAAUCUAACUCUUUUUUUUUUAAUUUAAGGAGUGAGAUAAGUAAUGAUUUCACAUUAAAAUUCAAUUAAUAAAUUAGCUUAAAAAGGAAAACUAACAUGGCAUUAGGAAAAUAAAAAUAUUAAAUAAAUAGUUAUAAAAACUUUAUAUUUUAUCUUCUUUCCUUACACUUUAGUUGCCACUUUUAGAUAUAUGCCUAUUAUACUUUAAAUAAAAAUAACUACAAUACAAUUUCAUUUUAAAGUCAUUAGUUAUUCACAAAUAACAAAACUUAAACUUUAUCUAUAGAUUUAAACCAAUAUGACAUCAAUGACUUUAUAGCUGAUAGAUUUGAUUUGUUAUUUUAAUUUAUUCAAUUGCCAUGUCCUCACAAUUGUCAUCCAAAUAUUCAAAUCAAAUUGCUGCAUUUUGCCUUAGUUGUGAUGUGAAAAAUAAUUGAGAUAAUUGAUUAGUUAAUGAUAUUUUAAUUUGAAAGGAGUUACUGACUAAUGAUUGAUUAAUUAUCUAAGUGGGGAAAAAGGGAAUGGAAUAUCUAAAUAUAAAGAAGAGGAAAAGAGAAAAAAAAUAAAGUUAUGAUAAAUUUAUAAAUAAACUAUGAAUAAAAAAGAAAGUAGGGAAUCAAAGAUAAAAACAAAACUGCAGUACCGUAUAACAGUUGCACCACAGUUUUGUCCCAUAAUUUAAGGCAAUAAAUUUAAAUGUUGGGAAUCUUUCCAAACCAAAUUCACAAUUGUUACAUUUAUUCUACAAAAUACCACCAAAUUUCAUUUUCAUGUUACACAUGCAUUUAGCUCGAAUAUAGGGGGUUUCAUGAGAGGUGCCACUUCAUAAUUCUUCUCUUGAUUUGAUCUGAUCAAUUUGCCAUACAAACGGGGAUGUAGCUCAGAUGGUAGAGCGCUCGCUUAGCAUGCGAGAGGUACGGGGAUCGAUACCCCGCAUCUCCAAAUUUAUUUAAUAUUUUAAAACUUUCAAUGUUUUAUUUUACUGCCCGUGCCACAUCAUGGUCAGUCCCCACGGCCGUUGCAGCCGGAGGUGUCCGGCCGCCACAUGACUGGUGGCAUCAUCUACUCGCCGUUGAAGUCAACAUCAGAAAUUUUUUAUUUUUUAUUUUAAAAUUAAAAAUCACAGCCGACACAUACAGGUGGUAUUAUGGCCUCUCUUGUUGGAUAAGGGAAAAAAAAAGGACGCGCAGUUCUAUGCCACCAACUCUUUCCUCUUUGGAGCUAAUAAUAUCCAAGUCAUUCAGUUUUUAAAUAAUUUCGAAUAAAGGAAGAGAGUUUGUUCAUUUAUAUCAUAUAGGUCCAGAACCCCACUCUCUCCUUCACGAGAAUCGCAUAACUAAAAAUUAGAUCACUCCAUCCAUGUGAUUGGAAUUAAAUCCUAUAUUCAUUAUAUCAUCAUCUCAAAUAAUUUGAUCAACUAAAUUAGUGGAUACUUAUAUACAUAUUAAAAUACAACUCGUAAUAAAACAAUCAAAUAAUUUUAAUAUCGCAAUUUUUCACUAAUAUAAUGUAAUGCUAAAAAUUAAGAGUAUAUAACUUAAAAUUUAUUCGAUAGUUUUGAAAUUAGAGCUUUUAUAAGUAGCGUUUUAGUAAUAAAAAUCUAUGUCAAUUUUUAAUUUUUAAAAAGAAAUUUAUAAAUAACUUAAUAGAAAAGUGAAGUAAAAUGUUAGAGUAACGAAAAUGUACUUUAGAGAAAUCAUAAUAAACGAGCACUUGAUAACAAAGGGUACUCCAUUGUGGAUCGAAAUUAGGGUUUUAUUUGAUACAAAUAGAAUAACUACGUAAUGUGAGAAACCAUAAAAGAUACGGACCUAAGUGCUAUUACCCCUUUCCUAGCCGCCAGACUUCAAUUCAGAUGCAAAAUUAUGCUAAUCAAGGCUUCAACGUAGUACACACAUUCUUCAGACUCAACCAAAACUAAAAUUGAUUUAUAAAAAAAAAAAAUAUUAAUGGCUUCAUCAAAAACAGUGAGAAAAUUACAGGUGGUAUCACCAGUACCAGCAGAUAUAGACAUUGCAAACUCAGUGGAGCCACUUCAUAUUUCUGAGAUUGCCCAAGAACUCAACCUGAAGCCAAACCAUUAUGAUCUCUAUGGCAAAUACAAAGCCAAGGUGAUUGCUUUUUAGCUUUUUAUUCAUAAUUUUUUUUUUCUUAUUGAGUAACUUAUAUCAGUUGGUCGAUUCAGCUUAAUGGUUAAAGACAUGAUUUUUAUGUUUUGAUUGGUUUGUUGUGAUGAGGGUGUGAUUCAAAAACUGCCAUGUUCAUUUUUAUUUUCAUUUUUUUUAAACUUAAGGUGCUUAGUUUUGUUAACAUAACAAGUUUGGGUGCGUAAAGUUGAAUGCAUGUUGUGGAUGUUUGUAGGUGUUGCUAUCUGUUCUCGACGAGCUUGAAGGAUCUGCAGAUGGGUAUUAUGUCGUGGUUGGAGGGAUUACUCCAACUCCUCUUGGAGAGGGCAAGUCUACUACAACUGUUGGGCUGUGUCAAGCAUUGGGUGCUUUUCUUGAUAAAAAGGUAGAGCUUUCAAUAGUUACAAUUUUAAAGCAUUGAAGUUGUUUCUCUAUUUGCCAAUCCAUUUAGUCUAGUGUAAUAUUGAAGUUCCAGUUCUCACACUUAGCUGUACUCCUAUAUCUGUUCCAAACAAUGUAUUUUGCAGUUGGAAAGGUUUUGUUAUAUAACUGUUAUUCUGUGUUAAAUAAAAACUAAAUCUGUAUGCUCAAGGAGCAUCUACGUAUUCAUUCCAUAAGAAACUGUUUUCUCUAAUGAUGUUUGAAGAUUCCUAAUCUCUUCCAUUGUAUUCUAAUCACAGCGUCCCUCUACUAGAUGUUUUUCAUUUCUAGUUUAACAAGUACUUGGUAAUGCUGUAAGACGUGUAAAUUUCUUCUGCAGAAAGGUGAAAAAUUGGAAAAAUUGUGAUUUCAAUUGGCCUGGAAAAUCUGUGUGUUAUGUCUGAUGACGACCAAUAUCAGAGUAGUUAAGAAAGUUGUGUUGAGAAAAACAAGUUUUUGAUUUGGAAAACUCAAAAAGUAAAAGAUGAAACUCUUUCUGAAGCUAGCUCUCUUUAUCUCUCUCUUGCCCAAAGCACCUUGCAUUCCUGAUGAUCUGCUGGCAACUUUUUUUAAUGAACAAAUUUUUGUGGGUUGUUCACUAUUUCACUCAAAUGGUGAGAUCACUUCGUAUGUAUGUGUUCUGCCAAUUCAAUCUGUGUUAUCAGCUGUCCCUUUUAUGAGGGGAAUUGAACGGACAAAUUCACGUGCUUCAAUGAGCAUGUUCAUGGGUCCUUUUAUUGUUGUAACAGCACGACUGUUGGCGUUCAUUAUGCCCUGCUGUUGAUAGUAGAGUAAACUACCUGAACAAAUUAUGUUCUUCUUUCCUAGGUACAAAUCUGAAUAACCAUUUUGUAAAUUUCAGACACAACAUACUUGAUCAUCUGUCUGGAUUUCAUGCAAAAUAAACCAGAUUUGGUGGAAGAAACUGUUCACUUUUAUUACUAUAAGACUUUCCAUAAAAAGACACAAGACCCUAAUUGUUAGACUAGAUAGUGCUCAACUGGUUUAGCACGCGAUUCAGCUUUAAAGGAGUAACAUGAAUGAGCUGCUUGUCAAGUUCCUUAAAAUAGGGUAUUAAUGAUUAUUAAUCUUCAACAGUUAAGACAGAGACUGCCUGUUAGUAAUGACCGUAGCUUUUUUGUCCAUCUAAAUCUAAUUAAUUCAAACAAGUAUAUUUACUUUGAACUUGCUUUUUCUAUCUCAAAAAUUAUCUUUGUCUGUUUUGUCUGAAAACUAGCUUUUCAGCUCAAAAAUAAAAGGAAAAAAGGGAAUAAGUUACUAUCAUGGUUCUGGGUAAUUUUAAUAGCAGAUGAAGCUGUUUUUGUGGUUGUUUCCUCCUUCAACAUAGAAGAUUGGAAUAUUUACAGUGAUUAUCACAGCGCAGAAAUUGGAAUGUGACUAGUUGCUUUGAAUUACUUUGACUGAGUAUUUGUUUAGGUGUUAUCCUUACCAUCUUUAUUUGUCAGGUUGUUACAUGUCUUCGUCAACCCUCACAAGGACCAACCUUUGGAAUCAAAGGAGGUGCAGCCGGUGGCGGUUACAGUCAAGUGAUCCCAAUGGAUGAGUUCAAUCUUCAUUUAACAGGAGAUAUUCAUGCAAUUACAGCUGCAAACAAUCUUCUUGCUGCUGCCAUUGACACCAGGAUAUUCCAUGAGGCGAGCCAAUCCGAUAAGGCUUUAUUUAACAGGUUAUGCCCACCGAACAAAGAAGGAGAACGGAGCUUUAGUAACAUCAUGUUUAGGCGUCUGAAGAAACUUGGUAUCUCCAAAACCAAGCCCGAGGAUCUUACGCCAGAAGAAAUUAACAGAUUUGCUAGGCUUGAUAUCGACCCAGCUUCUAUUACAUGGAGGAGAGUUAUGGAUGUGAAUGACCGAUUCUUGAGGAAAAUUACUAUUGGUCAAGGCCCCGAAGAAAAGGGAAUGGUGAGAGAAACAGGCUUUGACAUUUCAGUUGCUAGUGAGAUAAUGGCAGUUUUGGCCCUGACAACUUCUCUAGCUGAUAUGAGAGAGAGGCUUGGGAAAAUGGUGAUUGGAAAUAGCAAGGCAGGUGAUCCUAUAACUGCCGAUGAUCUUGGUGUUGGAGGUGCUUUGACUGUGCUAAUGAAGGAUGCAAUCAACCCCACUUUGAUGCAGACACUGGAAGGAACCCCUGUUCUUGUUCAUGCUGGUCCUUUUGCAAAUAUUGCUCACGGUAAUUCUUCUAUUGUGGCUGAUAAGAUUGCACUGAAAUUGGUUGGACCAGGUGGAUUUGUCGUCACUGAAGCAGGUUUUGGUGCUGAUAUUGGAGCUGAGAAGUUCAUGAAUAUUAAAUGCCGAUAUAGUGGUUUAACUCCUCAGUGUGCUGUUAUUGUGGCAACAAUAAGGGCCUUGAAAAUGCAUGGUGGUGGGCCACAAGUUGUUGCUGGGAAGCCUCUUGACCAUGCCUACUUGAAUGAGAACGUGGCUCUGGUUGAAGCUGGCUGUGUGAAUCUGGCCAGGCAUAUUGCAAACACAAAGGCAUAUGGUGCGAAUGUUGUAGUUGCUGUGAACAUGUUCGCAACUGAUAGCGAAGCAGAACUGAAUGCAGUUAGAAAUGCAGCUAUGGCUGCUGGGGCCUUUGAUGCAGUUGUUUGUUCUCACCAUGCCCAUGGUGGAAAAGGAGCAGUAAGUGACUUAUCACCAUUAGACCUAACAAACAAAAAGGAAAUAUUUCUCAAUUUUCACCUCUGCAAACUACAUAACUGUAAAUAAAUUAUCAUUAAUCUGCAUUGCCCAUAUUUGGUCUCUACACAGAAUUUCUCUGAGGCAAUUGGAGCAGGAUGAGUUGUUUAACAACAUUUACACACCGCCUUUCUGAUUCUGGAAAUUAUUGACACAUCCCACCUAUGUCUGAGAAUUUCUCAUGUUCUGCAGUCUACCUUUGCUUCGACCACUAAGGACUUGUAUUGUGAUUUUUUGUCAGCAAACUAGGAAUAGAUAUUUUCAAUCCAAGUGUAAUCACAUAUUUUGAACCUGAAAGACUUGUGCCUUUUCUGUCUAUAGUAUGACUCCGAGAUAGGCUCCUUUCGGGGUGUACAUAUUAUAUGAUAAGACUAAACUGGGAGAAUUGGUUAUUGAUGUCUUUUGAUUAAAAGCUCUAUUGUUAUCAUGGCUUUCAGGUUGACCUUGGAAUUGCAGUUCAAAGAGCCUGUGAGAAUGUCACACAGCCACUGAAGUUCUUAUAUCCUUUAGAUGUCAGUAUUAAAGAGAAAAUAGAUGCAAUAGCAAGGUCAUAUGGUGCUAGCGGCGUUGAGUACUCUGAUGAGGUAAAUGCUUCACACUUUGUUCCAUCAAUUCUCCAUGGAUUGUCAAGUGCAUCAGUCUGACUAAUUCAAUCCUUUCAAAAUCUGACAAAAAGCACAAAGUUAAACCAAAUAUUAAAUGUUCCUUUGGGUUGGUGAAAGCAAAAUCUAGUUGUAAAAUGCGUGUUUUGUCUUUUACUGUGGCAUUUCAAAUCUAUUUUCUUGCCGACGCCUAAAAAUAAUAGAGGUAGCACUUACCAUCUUUUUGAGGAGACAAGGAACUCUUACAGAAAAAAGCGCAUGCAUAUAUAUGUAUGUAUUUUGAUGAGACCAUUAUGAUAACUUUUGGUCUCCUGCAGAAUUUUUGGGAUUUACUUUCCUAAACACUUGUCCGGUGCCCAUCUUAUUGAUUUUUGGAACUUGCUUAACUAUUCUAGGGCUUAGUUUACUAAUUUAAAUUAUUUCAAUCUGUGCAACUAGGCUGAGAAACAGAUCGAAAUGUACACCGGGCAAGGGUUUUCUGGCUUACCAAUUUGCAUGGCAAAAACCCAGUAUUCAUUUUCACACAAUGCCGCCGAGAAGGGAGCCCCAACUGGGUUUAUCUUACCGAUAAGGGAUGUAAGAGCUAGCAUUGGGGCUGGAUUCAUUUAUCCUUUGGUUGGAACAAUGAGUACAAUGCCAGGUCUCCCAACAAGGCCGUGCUUUUACGAGAUUGAUGUCGACACUGCAACUGGAAAGGUUGUUGGGCUGUCUUAAGAUCCCACAAAGCACUCCCGUGUGGUUCUCAAAGAUGCUCUCUUUAGCAGUUCUCGAAAGCAACAACUGAGCUGAGGGCUCCCUCCCACCCCAUUGCUGUUAUUCUAACCUCGAUUUGUACACUUCGUGCACCUGUGCUAUAUGCUGUGUUAAUAAGAACCGAACACAAAAGAACCGGGAGAAUAAAUCUGGUUUCAUCUUUCUGCUUUGAUUUACCUAUGAUGCCCAUAUCCCAACUGAUUUGAUACCCAUCCGAAAUUGCCUUUUGUUAGGUUGUUUUUGAAUUUUUAUUCCAUGAUCAGUGUGCCGGUUUUGUGUUACCAUAUCACAUAAGUUUGAGGUACAACUUUUUUUAUUCUUCGUACAACCAAUACUUAGAAAUGUUACAUAUUUGAGAUAUCAAAGUUUAAAUGCUACCGGGCGGGCCAUGCACCGGCGGUUUGCCAUCCUUGACAAGGAUUGACUUGCAAAUGUAACAUGGAGAGUUGAGUUCAAAGUUCAAGCCCCCUCAUCCAUUUAAUUCGUUUUGUAUUAAUCUAAAAUGCCCACAAAAAAAAAAGGGGACGAGAAAGUUGGCUAUUCAUAUUUUAGGGUCUAGCUAACGUGCAACUGUUGCACGGUAUCCCCUAUUUUGUCUUCUUGUGUUUUUCCUGUUACAUUUAAUGCAGAGUAGAUUCAAACUCAACGGUGGAAUGCUAUAGUUUGGUAAUUAACGCUACACUCCCUGUCGUAUACUGAAAUUCUAAACAAAAUAAAUGUUUCAAAAUUUUGACACAUAAAUUCAUAUUGUAUUAAAUUUGUAAAUAAUUUAAACAAUUAAAAAAUGGGUAGGCUGUCUUGAGUUAAAAAAUUUGACAUAAAAAUAAAAAUAAAUAUCAAUAUCUAACUCUCUUUUUUUCUAAUUUUAGGAGUGAGAUAAGUAAUGAUUUCACAUUAAAAUUCAAUUAAUAAAUUAGCUUAAAAAAUAAAACUAGCAUGACAUUACUAAAAUAAAAUAUUAAAUAAAUAAUUAUAAAAACUUUAUGUUUUAUCUUCUUUCCUUACACUUUAGUCACCACUUUAAAAUAUAUGCAUAUUACACUUUAAAUAAAAAUAACUACAAUACAAUUUCAUUUCAAAGUGAUUAGUUAUUCACAAACAACAAAACUUAAACUUUAGAUUUAAACCAAUAUGUCAUCAAUGACUUAUAGCUAAUAGAUUUGAUUUGUUAUUUUAAUUUAUUCAAUUGCCAUGGCCUCACAAUUGUCAUCCAAAUAUUCAAAUCAAAUUGCUGCAUUUUGCCUUAGUUGUGAUGUGAAAAAUAAUUGAGAUAAUUGAUUAGUUAAUGAUAUUUUAAUUUGAAAGGAGUUACUGACUAAUGAUUGAUUAAUUAUCUAAGUGGGGAAAAAGGGAAUGGAAUAUCUGAAUAUAAAGAAGAGGAAAAGAGAAAAAAAAAUAAAGUUAUGAUAAAUUUAUAAAUAAACUAUGAAUAAAAAAGAAAGUAGGGAAUCAAAGAUAAAAGUAAAACUGCGGUACCGUACAACAGUUGCACCACAGUUUUAUCCCGUAUUUUAAGGCAAUAAAUUUAAAUGUUGGGAAUCUUUCCAAACCAAAUUCACAAUUGUUACAUUUAUUCUACAAAAUACCACCAAAUUUCAUUUUCAUGCUACACAUGCAUUUAAGGCCAAAUAUAGGGGUUUGAUGAGAAUUGCCGCUUCAUAAUUCUUCCGUUGGUUUGAUCUGAUCAAUUUGCCAUACAAACGGGGAUGUAGCUCAGAUGGUAGAGCGCUCGCUUAGCAUGCGAGAGGUACGGGGAUCGAUACCCCGCAUCUCCAAAUUUGUCUAAUAUUUUAAAGAGUUACGCUAUUGGCAUCCCUUCAUAAUCCAUCUCUUUUGAAACCCCUCUUGUUUUGAAUUUACAAAUUUAUCCUUUAUAUUUUAAAUUAUAUUAAAAAUAAAAUUUAUCUAAUUUAAUCUACCUACGUUUUCUUUGCCUUUUUAUCUAUAAUAAACUCAUUAAAAUCUACAAAAUUUGAAAAAAUAUUGAAUUGUCAUGGAAUAAGAAUUUGAUCUAAAUAUAAACUAAGUUUUUGUAGAAAAGAUAAUUUUGUAAAGUUUGUUUACUUGGACCAAAUUUUUCUUUCAUAUAUGCAUUAUUCGUCCUUAUAUGUACACUCAAGUUAUUAACUGCUAAGAAAAUAAAGAGAAAUGGAAACAAAAAUUAAAAAUUCAUGAAUGCUAUAAUAAAGAAGAAAUUGCAAGUGGUUUGAAAUGGGAGAGAGGAGAGAGAGAGAGCGCCUAACAUAAUUUUUUUUUCAAGGUAAAUUAUCAUUGUACCACAUUUCUUUUGUCUUAUGUUCAUCUAACCACCACAAAAUUUUAACAUAUUAUUUGCACCACAUUUCUUUUUAAAUUUAUAUCAAUUAGCUACUUUUGAACUAAUACCGUUAAAUAACUUAAAUAAAAUGACAAUUUUACCCCUAAAUUUAAUAAAGAAAUAAAUCCCAAAAUUAGAAUUUUUAUUUUUUAACAAAAAUAUUUAAAUAAAAAAUUAUAAUUAUAAAAAAAUUACAAAAUUUUGGGAUUUAAUAGAAAUCCCCUAAAUUAUUAAAAUUUUAGGAUUUAUUUUUUAAUAAAUAAAUUCAGUUAUUUCAAUAAAAUUUUACAAAAUUAUAAUUUUUUAAUAAAUAAAUUCAGUUUAUUUUUUAUUAAAAUUGUGUAAAAUUAUAAAUUUUUAAUAAAAAUAAUUAUUAAAUUUUUUAAAAUCUAAAUUUUAUAAAAAUAACUGAGCACCUCUAUUUUGAAUUUAUUUUUUGUUAAAUUGAGGAGUAUUUUUAUAAUUAUAAUUUUUUAUUUUUCAAAACUUUUAUAAGAUAAAAUAGUCUUUUAAUUUAUUUAGAGAUAAAAUUGUCAUUUUGUUUACAUUAUUUAACGAUGUUAGUGCAAAAGUGACUAAUUGAUACAAAUUUAAAAAGAAAGGCAGUGAAAAGAAUAUGUUAGAAUUUUGUGGUGGUCAAAUGAAUAUAAGACAAAAGAAAGGUGAUGCAAUGAUAACUUCUCUUUUUUCAAACUACUAAUAUGAGGUUUAUUAAGAAAGUACAACAAAUGAAGGCUGUUUUAGAAAUUAAAAAAAAUAUACAGAAAUGAGGUUUGAAAAGAAUGUUAAAGGUGCGCCAAUAAUCCAACUUUAUUUUAAAACAUUUAGGGUGCCUUUAGUACCAUUUUCAAUUUGUUGUUUUUCGUUUUAUGAAAAGGAAAAUGCAGAAAACUUGUUUGGUGAGCUCAUUUUGGUAGAAAACUAUACAGUGAUUAAAAACAAAAAAAUUUCAUUUUCCAAUGUUUACAAAGAAAACAAGAGAACGCUAUUAUAGCGUUCUCUAUUUUAUUUCACUUUUACUCUCUGCCAACUGCCAAGGCCCCAUUAUCUUAACUUUUAUAACAUAUUACGUGGGCCCAUUUAAUAAAGAAAUAAUCUAAUAAAUAAACUAUUAUAACAAAUAUUUAAAUAUAAUAGCAAGAGUUUAUUCCAUACUUUGCAGCUUAAUUACUUAAUAUAUUACCCAAAUUGUUUUAAAUAAAAAGUAAUAUCAUAUAAUUAUUAUACUAAAUUAUCACAUUGUUCGACCAAUAUUCAGUUAUUUAAAAAUUAUUAAAGACUUUCAUAUAUUAAUGAAAAUAUAUCAAUAAUAAAGUUACAUCUUGACAGCUAAUAUAAAUAAAUAUAUGAUAAUUAUGAAAUAAUUUAAGAUUUUCUCAAUUAAUAUUAUCUUAUAACUACAAUUUAUUUACAUAAUUAAAUUUUUUAAAGAAAUUAUUAAAAUAUCUUCGUACCUAUAUGCAUUUAUAAUAAUAUAUAAUACAUCAUAAUAUAAUAGCUAAAUAGAUAAAUUAUUUAAUGAUAUAAAAUAUAUAUUUAUAUUCAUUGUAUUAUAGUAUUUUUUCAUAAUAGUUUCAUUAAAUAAUUCUCUACUCUCUCUCUCUCUUUUUGUCUUCAUUUUUUCAGACAAGCAACUAAACACCUUUUCACCUUUUUUAUUUUAUUUUCAAGUACUGUUAUUAAAAUAAGCUACCAAACAUGUUUUUAUUUUUAACAAAAAAUAAUCAUUCUUAUUUCAUAAAACAAAUUCAAAAACACCAUUUAAAUUUUGAAAAUGCACCCUUAAGUGUUUUAUUUUAGGGUUAUUUUUAGAAACCUCCCCUGAGGUUUGAUAUAAUUUGAGUUAAAUGGCGAGAUUGAUUCUAUUCUCACUUACCUCCCCUACUGUUAGUAUACGUACGACUUGACAGUUAGUUGACUUGAGAAAUAACUGAAAUAUCCAAACCAAUUAUUCAACCCAAAAUUUUGGUGCCAACAAAGUAAGAGUACGACAAAAAUAGCUUGCCAAACAUAUACCUUCUCUUCUCUCCAAAUUCAACCUAGGUCUUGAGUUUUCCAACUACAAGAGACGGCGGUUGGUCGGGCGUUUGACAACAAGUUGAUCUCUGGCAGCACGUGGCUCUACUUCCACCAUUUUGGCCGCAAUAUAUCACGUUAGUUUUCGGUAAUUUUGGCAAGCCUUAUAUUGUAAAUUUUUUUGUUUUUCGUUUGCCUAAAUUGAUUGAUGACAAAUGAGUGUAUAAAUUAUUAUAGAUGAUCAUUAGGAUUGAUUAGUGCGUAAAUAUUAAAAAUGGUUUAAUGAAAUCGGUAGUUACUAAAUGGUACAUGAGGUGAUCGACAAAAUGCCUCUUAGGGUUUGUUUGUCUUGUUUUAGGUAGAUUAAGGUGUUGAUGGUGCAUUCAUGCGAAGUCUUGUUUUGUAAGCUCAUUAUUUAGCACGAAAAUUUUGCAACAACUAGUUUAAUAGGGUAUUUUGUAUUUCUGCAGAAUCGCGCGCGCGAUAGGGCCUAUCGCGAUAGGUAGAGCUGGCAAAACGGGUCAUCGGGUCGUGUUUGUGUCGUGUCAGCUUCGUGUCGUGUCAAAUUUAGGUCGACCCAAACCCGACCCAUUUAAUAAUCGUGUCAAAAUAUUGAGACCCAAACCCGACACGGAAAAAUAAUCGGGUUACCCAAUAACCCGUUUAAUAUCUAUAUAUUGAAUAAAAAUUACAUCAAAUAUUUACACACUAUCAUACAUACAUAUGUACAUAAAUACAUACAUACAUACAUACAUACAUUUAUCGAUAUUAUAAAAUAUACAUAUCUACCAAUAUAUUACAUAUUUACACUAUUGAGGUUUUAAUUUUAUAUAUAUAUAUAUAUAUAUAUAUUAUUUAUCAAUAUUAUAAAAUAUACAUGUCUAUUAAUUUUUACACAUUUACACUAUUGAACCUCUAAAUGUAUGUAAAAUUUUAUAAAUAAAAUACUGUGUUUAUAUUCACCCUUUUAAAGAAUAAAAAAAAAAUCAUCUCUAAUAUUUGAGUUUUAAUUAUAAGAAUAUGUAAAUUAUUUUAAAAUAGAAAAUAUAAUCGGGUCAUUGAUCGGGUAAAUGGGUCAAGAAUUUUAACCCAAACCCGACACGGAAAAAAAUCGUGUUGACCCGGACCCGACCCAUUUAAUAAUCGUGUUAAAUUUGACGACCCAUACCCAUUUAUUUAUGUCGUGUUCGUGUCGGGUAAUCGGGUCGUGCCAAAUUUUGCCAGCUCUAGCGAUAGGUGUAUGUGAUUUAGAGCAACGGACACUGUCUCCUGGGCGACAGGUGCUUGUCUCCCGGGCGACAGGUGUCUGUCUCCCCAAAUUACAGAAAGCUUGUUUCUGUAAUUUCGAAUGCUUGUCUCCUGGGAGACAGUGGAUGUCUCCCCAAAUUACAUAAAGCUUGUUUAACUAACGCAUGAAAUAAAAAACCACUAAAAACUCAGCAACAGACUAUACUAAUCUCCAAAAUACGUUAAGGGAUUCCAUCACCACCAAACCACCAAUAUUUUACUUAUUUAAAGAAAUAAGUAAAUUCCAAACCAUCAAGUUGCAUGUCACCAAAUCAGCAACACAAAUAACAAAUAACAAACAUUUAAAUUUGUAUCGAGAGGAAAAAAAAUAUUAGUAUGAGUUAAUUGAAUUGGAAAAUAACACUAAGUAGAAUGUUACCAUAAUUUAAAUUACAGUCACAUGUGCAUUUUCGUAGCUUACAGUUGGUGACAAUCACAAAUUGACUGAAUUUCAUCAGCCUAUACAUCCAACAGUCGCCCAUAUACACAAAAAUAACAAAAAUAACAACUACACUAACAAUGUGCAAUGAUAGUUGAGGUAUACUUUAUACAUGACAUUGCCACUAUAAUGUGAGUUUGUUAGAAUCACAUUUAUACAAAAUAUACAAAAACUCAAUCUUGUGCCUAUGACUGAGUACAAAAAGAUGAUACGACAUCUUAAUUUGCUGGGAUCCUCUCAAGAGAUUCUUUUAUUGCCGUCACCUGCUCAAUGUGAACCUUAUCAUUCAAAUCAGGGAGAGCAAACUCAUUCUCGUCUGCUAAGUCAAACCAGUCCUUUUCUACUGCAAGUUCCAGUGGAACAGAAGACGAUUCAACUGGCCUUUUGCCCCCUAUCAUAUGAGAAUAUGCAUACAUUAAUAAGUGAAAAUAAAGUAAUAAUUAAGAAUAAUAAUAAUAAUAAUGACAUUACUAAACAACAACAAUAAUUGCAAUAAUAAAAAAAAAUAAUGAUAAUAGUAAUAUAUUUUAAUAAAGAUAUUAAUAAUAAUUGUAAUAAUAAUAAUGUAUAUAUAUGUUUUAAUUACAUAUAUAAGUGAAUGUGUGUGUGUGUUUAAUAUUUUUUAUUUUGAAUUAAUAUUAAGCACAAACUGUGUUUUUCGUGUGACAUGCCUAUUGCACGGGCGACAAAAUACUGUAGCACGGGAGACAGAACCUAUCGCCCAAACACACAAAAUGUGUGUGCAUGUAACAAGAGUAUGUUGCAGCCCAAAACACAAAAAUAGUGUUUUUGGGCGAUAGGGGUUGUCGUCUGCGUGACAAGAUUCUGUCGCUAAAAAACACAGAAACUGAAUUUGGGCGACAUAAACCCGUCGUACAGGCGACAACCCCAAAAACACAAAAAUUGUGUUCGUAUGACGUGAGUCUGUAGCACGGGGGACAUGCCUUGUCGCUCAAAAAUGCAGGAAUUGUGUUUGUGCGAGAGGUGUACAAAAACACUGCAAAUUCAUUAACAAAUCAACUUUAGCAAACUUUGGCCAGAAAAAUAAAAAUUACAACUAAGAUCUACUUCUAUUUUACAUACCCAUUUGCAUAAUAAUAAUAAAUUAUUGGCUUUAUAUGCCUUAUUACACUAUGUAUGGUGUAAAUCACAAACAUAAAAUAAUCAAUAACAAUUGUUUUCAACUCAUGACCACAUAUGACUGAAUCCAUUUUUCUUUUAAUUAAUUUUUUCACCACCAACCUAUGAACAAGACAAAUCAAACAUAACCAGCAACUACUUAUAAAAUCUCCAAAAAAAAGAAAAUCAAAGAUAUUUAAAAAUUUUAGACUUUAAUAAAAUAACUAACCUCUUACAAACUCCAAUACCAGUGGCAUAUCUCGGCCGCCGUCGAUCGUCAUCGGUCGGUGACUUUGUCCGACCACCUAUAUUUGUCUUCUUUAUGGGUUAUAUAUGCUCUUUAUGUUUAUUUCCUUUUGUUCCAGCAACUGAGAAUAUGUGAGUGGAGUGAAAAAUGCUUUGAUUGUUAAUGUGAGAGAAAAAAAAUCUCAUUUGCUUUUUUGUACUUAAGAAAGGAAAAUUCACUCUUUUACACAAUGGAUAUUGUGUAUAAUCGGAUAAUACAAUUAUCCAAUAGAUUUCAAAAUAUUUUUUUUUUAUUGUUACUUGAUUUUUUUAGAUUUUCAGCGUGUCUUUUAUAUUUUUGCUAUCAAAUACUAACGUUAUACGUGUAUGUAUACUAACGAUAGAGAAGGUAAAUGAGAAUACAAUUAAUAUCGCCGUCUAAUUGAAAUUAUAUCAAAUCUCAGAGGAGGUUUCUAAAAAUAGCCCUUUUAUUUUACUGCCCGUGCCACAUCAUGCUUAGUACCCACGGCCGUUGCAGCCGGAGGUGCCCGGCAGCCACAUGACUGGUGGCAUUAUCUACUCGCCGUUGAAGUCAACAUCAGAUUCUUUUUUUGUCUUUUAAUUAAAAAUCACAGCCGACACAUACUGUUGGAUGAGGCGGAGCAUAAUAUCAUCGCCUCUCUUGUUGGAUGAGGCGGGAAAAAAAUGGCGCGGCUCUAUGCCACCAACUCUUUCCUCAUUGGAGCUAAUAACAUCCAACUCAUUCAGUUUUUAAAUAUUUACGAAUAAAGGAAGAGAGUUUGUUCACUUAUAUCAUAUAGGUCCAGAACCGUACUCUCUCCUUCAUGAGAAUUGCAUAACCAACAAUUAGCAUGUGGUUGGAAUUGAAUCCUAUAUUCAUUACAUCAUCAUCUCAAAUAAUUUGAUCAACUAAAUUAGUGGAUACCUAUAUACAUAUUAAAACACAUCUCGUAAUAAAACGAUCAAAUAACUUCACUAUAGUAAUUUUUUUACUAAUAUAAUGUAACGCUAAAAAUUAAGAGUAUGUAACUUAAAAUUUUAUUUGGUAGUUUCUAAAUUAGAGCUUCUAUAAGUAACGUUUUAGUAAUAACAAUUUACGUUAAUUUUUAACUUAAAAAAAAAGUUUAUAAAUACCUUAAUAGAAAAGUAAAGUAAAAUGUUAAACUAAGGAAAAUAUAGUUUUAGAGAAAUCAUAUUAAACGAGCACCUAAAUACCAAAGGGUACUCCGUUGUGGAUCGAAAUUGGGGUUUUAUUUUAUACAAAUAGAAUAACAAUGUAAUUAUGUGAGAAACCAUAAAAGAUACGGACCUAAGUGCUAUUACCCCUUUCCUAGCCGUCACACUCCAAUUCAGAUGCAGAGUUAUGCUAAUCAAGGCUUCAACGUAGUACACACAUUCUACAGACUCAACCAAAACUAAAAUUGAUUUAUUAUAAGAAAAAAAUUAAUGGCUUCAUCAAAAACAGUGAGAAAAUUACAGGUGGUAUCACCAGUACCAGCAGAUAUAGACAUUGCAAACUCAGUGGAGCCACUUCAUAUUUCUGAGAUUGCCCAAGAACUCAACCUCAAGCCAAACCAUUAUGAUCUUUAUGGCAAGUACAAAGCCAAGGUGAUUGCUUUUUAGCUUUUUAUUCAUAAAUUUAUUAUUAUUUUUCCUUAUUUGAGUAACUUAUAUCAGUUGGUCGAUUCAGCUUAAUGGUUAAAGACAUGAUUUUUGUGUUUUGAUUGGUUUGUUGUGAUGAGGGUAUGAUUCAAAAACUGCCAUGUUCAUUUUUAUUUUUAUUUUUUAUUUCAAACUUAAGGUGCUUAGUUUUGUUAACAUAACAAAUAUGGGUGCGUAAAGUUGAAUGCAUGUUGUGGAUUUUUGUAGGUGUUGCUAUCUGUUCUUGAUGAGCUUGAAGGAUCUGCAGAUGGGUAUUAUGUGGUGGUUGGAGAGAUUACUCGAACUCCUCUUGGAGAGGGAGAGAUUACUCAAUAUCCUCUUGGAGAGGGAAAGUCUACUACAACUGUUGGGCUGUGUCAAGCAUUCGGUGCUUUUCUUGAUAAAAAGGUAGAGCUUUCAAUAGUUACAAUUUUAAGGCAUUGAGGUUGUUUCUCUAUUUGCCAAUCCAUUUAGUCUAGUGUAAUAUUGAAGUUCCAGUUCUCACACUUAGUUGUACUUCUAUAUCUGUUCCAAACAAUGUACUUUGCAGUUGGAAAGGUUUUGUUAUAUAACUGUUAUUCUGUGUUAAAUAAAAACUAAAUCUGUAUGCUCAUGGAGCAUCUACUUAUUCAUUCCAUAAGAAACUGUUUUCUCUAAUGAUGUUUGAAGAUUCCUAAUCUCUUCCAUUGUAUUCUAAUCACAGCAUCCCUCUACUAGAUGUCUUGCAUUUCUUUUUUAACAUGUAUUUGGUAAUGCCGUAAGACCGUAAAGUUCUUCUGCAGAAAGGUGAAAAAUUGGGUAAAUUGUGAUUUCAAUUGGUCUGGAAGUUCUGUGUGUUAUGUCUGAUGACGACCAAUAUCAGAGGAGUUAAGAAAGUUGUGUUGAGAAAAACAAGUUUUUUGAUUUGGAAAACUCAAAAGUAAAAGAUUAUUCAAGUUGAAUGGGUCAGGGGAGGCAGUUGUAACUCUUUCUGAAGCUAGCUCUCUUUAUCUCUCUCUUGCCCAAAGCACCUUGCAAUCCUGAUGUUCUGCUAGCAACUUUUUUUAUUGAACAAAUUUUUGUGGGUUGUUCACUAUUUUGCCAAAAUGGUGAGAUCACUUCGUAUGUAUGUGUUCUGCCAAUUCAAUCUGUGUUAUCAGCUGUCCCUUUUAUGAGGGGAAUUGAACAGACAAAUUCAUGUGCUUCAAUGAGUAUGUUCAUGGGUCCUUUUAUUGUUGUAACAGCACAUGACUGUCGGUGUUCAUUAUGCCCUGCUGUUGAUAGUAGAGUAAACUAACUGAACAAAUUUUGUUCUUCUUCCCUAAGUACAAAUCUGAAUAACCAUUUUGUAAAUUUCAGACAUUAACAUACUUGAUCAUCUAACUGGGUUUCAUGAAAAUAGAUCAGAUUUGGUGGAAGAAACUGUUCACUUUUAUUACUAUAAGGCCUUCCAUAAAAAGACACAAGACCCUAAUUUUUAGACUAGAUAGUGCUCAACAAGUUUAGCACACGAUUCAGCUUUAAAGGAGUUACAUGAAUGAGCUGCUUGUCAAGUUCCUUAAAAUAGGGUAUUAAUGAUUAUUAAUCUUCAACAGUUAAGAUAGAGACUGCCUGUUAGAAAUGGCCGUAGCUUUUUUGUCCAUCUAAAUCUUAUAAAUCCAAACAAGUAUAUUUACUUUGAACUUUUUUUUUCUAUCUCAAAAUUUAUCUUUGUUUGUUUUGUCUGAAAACUAGCUUUUCAGCUCAAAAAUAAAAGGAAAAAAGGGAAUAAGUGACUAUCAUGGUUCUGGGUAAUUUUAAUAGCGGAUGAAGCUGUUUUUGUGGUCGUUUCCUCCUUCAACAUAGAAGAUUGGAAUAUUUAGAGUGAUUAUCACAGUGCAGAAAUUGGAAUGUGACUAGUUGCUUUGAAUUACUUUGACUGAGUAUUUGUUUAGGCGUUAUCCUUACCAACUUUAUUUGUUAGGUUGUUACAUGUCUUCGUCAACCCUCACAAGGACCAACCUUUGGAAUCAGAGGAGGUGCAGCUGGUGGCGGUUACAGUCAAGUGAUCCCAAUGGAUGAGUUCAAUCUUCAUUUAACAGGAGAUAUUCAUGCAAUUACAGCUGCAAACAAUCUUCUUGCUGCUGCCAUUGACGCCAGGAUAUUCCAUGAGGCGAGCCAAUCCGAUAAGGCUUUAUUUAACAGGUUAUGCCCACCAAACAAAGAAGGAGAACGGAGCUUUAGUAACAUCAUGUUUAGGCGUCUGAAGAAACUUGGUAUCUCCAAAACCAAGCCCGAGGAUCUUACGCCAGAAGAAAUUAACAGAUUUGCUAGGCUUGAUAUCGACCCAGCUUCUAUUACAUGGAGGAGAGUUAUGGAUGUGAAUGACCGAUUCUUGAGGAAAAUUACUAUUGGUCAAGGCCCCGAAGAAAAGGGAAUGGUGAGAGAAACAGGCUUUGACAUUUCAGUUGCUAGUGAGAUAAUGGCAGUUUUGGCCCUGACAACUUCUCUAGCUGAUAUGAGAGAGAGGCUUGGGAAAAUGGUGAUUGGAAAUAGCAAGGCAGGUGAUCCUAACUGCCGAUGAUCUUGGUGUUGGAGGUGCUUUGACUGUGCUAAUGAAGGAUGCAAUCAACCCCACUUUGAUGCAGACACUGGAAGGAACCCCUGUUCUUGUUCAUGCUGGUCCUUUUGCAAAUAUUGCUCACGGUAAUUCUUCUAUUGUGGCUGAUAAGAUUGCACUGAAAUUGGUUGGACCAGGUGGAUUUGUGGUCACUGAAGCAGGUUUUGGUGCUGAUAUUGGAGCUGAGAAGUUCAUGAAUAUUAAAUGCCGAUAUAGUGGUUUAACUCCUCAGUGUGCUGUUAUUGUGGCAACAGUAAGGGCCUUGAAAAUGCAUGGUGGUGGGCCACAAGUUGUUGCUGGGAAGCCUCUCGACCAUGCCUACUUGAAUGAGAACGUGGCUCUGGUUGAAGCUGGCUGUGUGAAUCUGGCCAGGCAUAUUGCAAACACAAAGGCAUAUGGUGUGAAUGUUGUAGUUGCUGUGAACAUGUUCGCAACUGAUAGCGAAGCAGAACUGAAUGCAGUUAGAAUUGCAGCAAUGGCUGCUGGGGCCUUUGAUGCAGUUGUUUGUUCUCACCAUGCCCAUGGUGGAAAAGGAGCGGUAAGUGACUUAUCACCAUUAGACCUAACAAACAAAAAGGAAAUAUUUCUCAAUUUUCACCUCUGCAAACUACAUAACUGUAAAUAAAUUAUCAUUAAUCUGCAUUGCCCAUAUUUGGUCUCUACACAGAAUUUCUCGAAGGCAAUUUGAGCAGGAUGAAUUGUUUAACAACUUUUACACACCGCCUUUCUGAUUCUGGAAAUUAUUGACACAUCCCGCCUAUAUCUGAGAAUUUCUCAUGUUCUGCAGUCUACCUUUGCUUCGACCACUAAGGACUUGUAUUAUGAGUUUCUCAGCAAACUAGGAAUAGAUAUUUUCAAUCCAAGUGUAAUCACAUAUUUUGAACCUGAAAGACUUGUGCCUUUUCUGUCUAUAGUAUGACUCCGAGAUAGGCUCCUUUCAGGGUGUACAUAUUAUAUGAUAAGACUAAACUGGGAGAAUUGGUUAUUGAUAUCUUUUGAUUAAAAGCUCUAUUGUUAUCAUGGUUUUCAGGUUGACCUUGGAAUUGCAGUUCAAAGAGCCUGUGAGAAUGUCACACAGCCACUGAAGUUCUUGUAUCCUUUAGAUGUCAGUAUUAAAGAGAAAAUAGAUGCAAUAGCAAGGUCAUAUGGUGCUAGCGGCGUUGAGUACUCAGACGAGGUAAAUGCUUCAAACAUUUUUCCAUUGAUUCUCCAUGGAUUGUCAAGUGCAUCAGUCUGACUAAUUCAAUCCUUUCAAAAUCUGACAAAAAGCACAAAGUUAAACCAAAUGUUAAAUGUUCCUUUGGGUUGGUGAAAGCAAAAUCUAGUUGUAAAAUGCGUGUUUUGUCUUUAUCUGUGGCGUUUCAAAUCUAUUUUCUUGCUGACGCCUAAAAAUAAUAGAGGUAGCACUUACCAUCUUGUUGCAGAAGCAACUCUUACAGAAAAAAGCGCAUAUAUAUAUGUGUGUGUGUAUUUUGAUGAGACCAUUAUGAUAACUUUUGGUCUCCUGCAGAAUUUUUGGGUUUUACUUUGUCUUGUUGAUUUUUGGAACUUGCUUAACUAUUCUAGGGCUUAGUUUACUAAUUUAAAUUAUUUCAAUCUGUGCAACUAGGCUGAGAAACAGAUCAAAAUGUACACCAGGCAAGGGUUUUCUGCCUUACCAAUUUGCAUGGCAAAAACCCAGUAUUCAUUUUCACACAAUGCCGCUGAAAAGGGAGCCCCAACUGGGUUUAUCUUACCGAUAAGGGAUGUAAGAGCUAGCAUUGGGGCUGGAUUCAUUUAUCCUUUGGUUGGAACAAUAAGUACAAUGCCAGGUCUCCCAACAAGGCCAUGCUUUUAUGCGAUUGAUGUCGACACUGCAACUGGAAGGGUUCUUGGGCUGUCUUAAGAUCCCACAAAGCACUCCCGUGACCGUGUGGUUCUGAAAGAUGCUCUCAUUAGUAGUUCUCGAAUGCUCUUGAAGCAACAACUGAGCUGAGGGCUGUUGGGAAAAUAUGCUCUUUAAAAGUAUAUGUGUUUAUUUAAUUAUAAUAAAUAAUUUUUUUGAUUAAUAAAAUAAAUAAUAUAUUUUAUUCAAAUAUCUUAAUUGUAUUAAUAUUUUGAGUAAAAUCCAUUUAAUCAUAUUAUAUGUAUUUAUAUGAUCACUAUGUGGAUUCACAAAAAAAUAUAAAUACAAGUUAUCUUAUAAUUAAAUAAAUUAAUUUCACAGUUGAUAAAUAAAGCUGGAUACUUUAUUUAUGUAUAGAUUGUAAUAAAUUCAUUAAACGAUUUGUCUUGAUUAUGUGUGAAUUUAUUGAUGUAGUACGAUUACAUUGAACAAAAUCACAUAUGAGAUUUAAUUAACUUUGUAAUAACUGUCAGACUUAUUAAAUCUCAUAGGCAUUGUUGUAAUCUUAAUAUUGAGUUAGUUAUGAUUUUAUGAUAGUAAUUGUUAUUCCAUUUGAGUUACCAAUGGGCACGACACACACUUGUAGUCAAUAUUACCCGGUAUUUUGGUGGGAGCAAUUAUGAGUAUUAGAGUUAUAGAUUAACAAUAUAGAAUUUGUACAACACAUCUCUUGAUGGGUUUUCGGCACUUGAUCAUAGAAUUCUCUGGCUAGAGUGUGUCAACAUAUUUAGUAUGUUGAAAAUGAUCAUUAGAGAAAACCAAUAAGUAUUAAGGAACAAUAUGUAAUUAAAUUGAUUGGACAGUUGAGAUAUCGAUUUAAUUAACGAUGUGGUACAGAAGAUUAUGCAGUAAAUAAAUCAAUGUGGCAUGGAUCAAAUUAUUAUUCGAAAACACUAUCCUAUAUAACAUACAAUUAGGGAGGUCAAUUCUAAUUUUUUAGUGGAAUAGAUUUGGAAUUAAAUAAUUGGACUAAUUUAAUUACAAGCCUAAUUAUUGUAGCCACUAUUGUAUUUACCUAAAUAAUCCCUGGGUUAGCUCAUUUAAUUGACUGUGCCGCUACUGGAUUAAUAAGCAAGAUAAUUAGUUAUUUGAGUUAAAAGUCUAAAUAUAUUAUUUAGUGGGAGACUCCAUUUAAUUUGUUUGUAUGUAAGAAGUCUUGUGUUAUUUUAUAAGCUGGCCCCUUAUAACUCAAGAACAAGUAACGCCACUUUUGGUUUUAUUGUUUUUUAAUUUAAAUCAAAUGUUAUUUAAUAGAAUUAAAAAAUAUAUAAAUAUGGAGUCUAAGUUUCCACCAAAUAGAGAUAUAAAAGGGCUUGUUUUUUAAAAAAGAAAAGAGACAGCCACAUUAUACAGAUUAGAGAAAAAAAAUUCCUCUAUAAUUUUGAGAGGAAUAUUCUCUUGCUAGUUGUUUUUAGUGGUGAUAAAGGCACCCACACGUCAAGUGCAGAUCAAACUUGAAUCAUAACCUGAAAGAUCAUUGGUGACAUAUCGUGAUUUAACAAAAGUGGUGGUGACGGAUCGUGAUCUAACAGGAGUGGUGGUGACGGAUCGUGAUCUAACAGGAGUGGUGGUGACGGAUCGUGAUCUGGGAGUCUAAAUUAAUUCAACGAAAAAGUCAAAUCGAAUUAUCAAGACAUGAUUUUUUAAAUUACGAAUUCUUAUGUAUUGUAUGAAUUAGUCCUAAAAAAUUUUAUAAAAAUUUAAAAAAAAUUGAUUUUUUUCCAAUAAGGGCUUCCUCCCACCCCAUUGCUGUUAUUUUUACCUCGAUUUGUACACUUCGUGCACCUGUGCUAUAUGCUGUGUCAAUAAGAAUCGAACACAAAAGAACCGAGAGAAUAAAUCUGGUUUCAUCUUGCUGCUCUGAUUUACCAA